RNAcentral lists this long non-coding RNA (44044 nucleotides) under Physcomitrium patens. Its description in RNAcentral is "long non-coding RNA (PPAT_LNC011487)". The record is from RNAcentral. Lineage: Eukaryota; Viridiplantae; Streptophyta; Bryopsida; Funariales; Funariaceae.
AUAAAUUCUAUCCAACACCAGGAAUAACAUACUUCACUCCAACCAAUCUGGAUUCACAGAAUUUUUGUAAUCACAGACUUCCUCUCUUGAAACACACACACAACUCUCAAUAAACAACAAUCAUAAUCUUCCAUCUAUAAUCGAUCUUCGAAUUACUUCUCACAUAAUUCAAUCACACAGUAUUCUAAUAACAUAAUCAAUAACUCAUAAAUCAAUCUCUGAUUUAUUCCAAAGACUCACUUCUAAGUAUUCAGAAACUAUCCAUUAUUCUUCAAUAACAAAGAAACAAAAAGAGACAGUACCAAGCUUACCUCGGCUCAUGACUAUCAUAGUCUGGCCCCUAGACUAACUUCUAUAACUCUUAUAUACUUACUUGCUAUUCCUAGAUUCUAACCGUAAUCCUAUAAUAACCACUUUUAAUAACUAAGUUAACCAUUUGUCUUUCUGAACUGACUAUUCUAUGGACUAUUAAUCUAUUUUAUCAAUAUCUUAUAAAAAUGAAUUAAUAUCUAUUCUACAAUGUUCCUUUUUCAAUCAUCUGCUAGUAGCUUAUAAUGUUAUUGAGACCUUUCUAGGUGAGUCUUCAUGAUUGCUUGAAGUUUGGCCAUCUUUGUAGCAAACGUCUUUGUCGCUAGAUUUGUUAACUUUAAAGGCUCUAUUAUAUCCAACUUUAAAUGAUGACCAUAGUUUGAAUAGAAUAGCGUUUGCUGCAUAAAUGCUUAGAUUGUGUUCUUAUAUAUAAACUCUACCAAUAACAAGUAAGAAGUCUAAUCGUCUUGUUAAUAAUUGAUAGUGCACGUUAAAUAUUGCUCAAGAAUUUAGUUGGCCGGCUUCGUUUGGCCAUCAAUUUGAAGAUGGAAGGCAGAAAAAAGGUUGAUGUCAACCUUAAGAAUCUUGAAGAAUGCCUUAUAAAAUCUUGAUACAAAUUAUGGCCCACAAUCUAAUACAAUGUCAUCUAACAACUCGUGGUAACAAUAGACAUUUUCAAUAAAGAAUCUUGCCAUCUCUUUACUAAUAAUUAAUUUCUUGAAAGAUAUAAAAUAUGCCAUCUCAAUCAAUCGAUCAAUAACUAUGAAGAUAGUAUCAAAUGAGCUUGAUGGUAGAAGAUUUGUAAUAAAAUCCAUAGAGUUUGAUGACCAUGGUUGUCUUGCAAUAGAAAGGGAUUAAAAAAGUCCAUAUGAUCGAUGUCGAGGGUUUUUUGACCUUGAACAAGUAUCACAUGAUAGUACAAAUUUCUUAAUGUCCUUCCAUAUUUUAGUCUACUAAAAAUUUCUAGACAGAAGUUCUAAGGUCUUAUUGAAUCCAAAAUGUGUGAUUGCAAAGAAGUCAUGGUAUAUUUGAAGAAUGUGAAGGCAAGUUGGUCCUUCAGGAAUGAAUAAAUGUUCUUUAAUAAAUAAGAGGAUGUCUUCAUACUUGAAUUUAUAAGACUCUUGAAGAAGGUUGUUGGCAAGACACUUGAUAUUAAGAACAAGAAGGUUUGUGUUUGAGGCUUUACAAACCUGAUCAAGAAAUGAUAAAUCCAUAGGCAUUGAUACAUUGAUUGCUGAAAGAUCAAAUUGCUCAGGUUUUAACAAGGUUGUUUGUUAUUGAUCAUAUGCUGCCUUCUCUUCUUUUGGUUUAAAGUAAGAACAUCUUACUAAUGCAUCUCAUAAUUCUUAUUGGAUCCCGAGUCGAUAUGUGAUGCAAAAGUCAAAUCGUGAUAAAAAUAUAUUCUAAUGUGCAUGGCAAUGGUUCAAUACUUGAAUUGACAUGAAGUAUUCAAGAUUCUUGUGAUCUGUAUAUAUAGUCACCUAAUGAGAGAUGCCUUCAAAAAAGUGGCACAAGUAGCUCUUUAUCAUGGAUUUUGUAGUUAAUUUCUACUGUUGAGAAUUUUCUAGAAUAGAAUACAAUUGAAUGAACUUUGCUAUCUUUUCCAUAUUGUGACAAAAUUGCUUCCAGUGCAAAGUCUAAGGCAUCGGUCUCCAUAAAAUAGAGCUUGUUGAAAUAUGGAUGUAUCAAAAUUAGAGCUAUUGUGAAAGCAUCUUUUAAGUUUUGAAAAACUUUUUCUACUUUGGAGCCCCAGUCUAGUUUGUCCUUGCAUGUCAACCACAUAAAUGGAGUAGCAAUCUUAGAAUAAUUUUUAACAAAAAUCAUAUAGAAGUUUACAAAUCUAAGAAAACAUUAGACAUCACAUACAAUUUUUGGCUUUGUCCAAUCGAUGAUUGCUUAUAUCUUCUUUAGAUCCAUAAAAAGGCUUUUGUUAGAAAUAAUAUAUCCAACAAAUUUGACUUGAGGUACAUAAAAUACACACUUCUUCAAUUUUACAUAUAGCCUAACACUUCAUAGUUUUUCCAGUAUAAGAUGGAUAUAUUUUUUGUAGUCUUUUGGAUUCUUGGAAAGAUCAAAAUAUCAUUUAAAUAGAUCAUAACAAAGUCAUGAAGAUACUCACAAAAUAUGUCAUUUAUUAAAUGUUGGAAUAUGGCUAGAGCAUUGAUAAGUCCAAAAGACAUGACAUUCUUUUCAAAAUGUCCAUACUUGGUACAAAAUGCUCUCUUUCAUUCAUCUCUCUCCUUAAUACCUACCAAAUUAUAUGCGGUGUCGUAAUGUAAUAUGGAUAACAAAUGAAAGGGUGAAAAAAAUAUCAUGUUUUGAGGAUCUCACUUCAAAAAUAUUAUAGAAAAUUAUCUUGGAAAAAUAGAUAUUAGUCAAAGGAUAGAAAAAUUAAAGGUGCCAAUGCUGCCUAUUUACCAAUUAUGCUUCUAUUUACUUUGUAAGGCCAUAAAUAAGACAAAACAAGGUAGAUUAGAAAAAUAAAGGAUAUAGGCAUAUGCAUGGAAGAGUGAGGAGUGAAAAUUAGUAAAAAUUAUUUCAAGAAGACAAAAGUUGAUACCCAAAGAGGACCAGUUAUAAACCUGGGUCGAAAUCAGACCCCGAGGCACAAAACUGUGCUCUGACGGCGACUCAAGGACUCUUUGGCAGAUUGGAGAAAGGAAUUUGAUAGAAUAUUGGAUAAGGUUUCUAUGGAUGUUGGUUUUGGGUGAUUUGGAUUUGUAUUGACUUUGAAAUAGCUUUGCAAAGUCAAGGUUUGUUUCGGAUGACUUGGAUUUUAUGAAAUAAAAUAGGAUUUAUAUUUUGGGUGAUUUCAAGAGUUUUGUUAUAGAUCUAUGGGUGAAAUUUUUUAGGUUUAUGUUUAUAGUUGUAUUAAAUAUGUAUUGUGAAUUUGAGCUCGAUCCAACAGUUGAAUUAAAGGAUAUUGAGGUUUAGGUGGAUCAAGGUCUCAAAAAGUAGAAUUUUAGGUCCAGUGAGGAUUUUUAAGAUUUCUUACAAUCUACUAGUUGGAUUGGAGUGAAACUUAUAUGAGAGGAUAUUAGACUUGUUUUUCUAUGCGUAGGAAAAUUUUGAAAUCAAUCGAACGAUGCAAAUGAGAGAUAUUGGCUCUGGAAGAUUGGCAUCAAGAUUGGAGAAGGAGGCUAGUCAAUACCUAAGCACAUUUUUGAGGAUAUCGUCAAUUUGGUAACUCCGAUCCUUAUCAAUUUUUUUUAUACUUAUUUUCAGAAGUAUCAGUUCGAUCCUUAUUAAUUUUUAUAACUUAUUUUUUUAGAAGUGUGCAAAAUUUGAGUUAAGAUCAACGAUUUAUUCAUUAGUUAUUGAGGUUUAAAUUUGUUGUAGGAAUUAUUAGGAUUUGGUUUAGGAUUUGGUUAGGAUUUGGUUUGGGAUUUAGGAUUUGGAUUAGGAUUUGAUUUAGGAUUUAGGAUUUGAUUAGGAUUUGAUUUAAGGUUUAGGGUUUGGAUUAGGAUUUGAUUUAGGGUUUAGGAUUUGGAUAGGAUUUGAUUUAGGAUUUAAGAUUUGAUUAAGAUUUGGUUUAGGGUUUAGGAUUCGAAUUAGGGUUUGGAUUAGGAUUUGAUUAGGAUUUGAUUUAAGGUUUAGAGUUUGGAUUUAGAUUUGGUUUAGGGUUCGGUUAGGAUUUGAUUUAGGAUUUAGGAUUUGAUUAGGUUUUAAUUUAGGGUUUAGGAUUUGGAUUAGGGUUUGGUUUAGGAUUUGGUUUAGGAUUUGGUUAGGGCUUGAUUUAGGGUUUAGGAUUUUAUUAUGAUUUAAGAUUCAAUUAGUUUGGCUUAAAUUUUGAAUGAAGUUAAAUAGGAUUUUAAUUAGAAUUAAAUUAAGAUUGAAUUGAGAUGUAUUUGAAUGACAUUUGUGUUCUUUUUAAUGUUUCUUUAAAAAUUCCUAUUAUUUUUUUGAAAUUUCUUUGAGGUUUUUUUGAAUUUGAUUAAGCUUGCUUAGAAUUAUUAUAGUCUAAUUAGAGUAUUAUUAAUAUUCUAUUAGAAUUAGGAUUUUGUUAUUAUAAUUUCCAUUCUUCUUUCCACAGCCAGGUGCCCGAAGCAUUCUCAAGCCAGACUUCACGUAUUACGACAGCGGCUCAUAGAUUAAUCUUUGUAAAGAUCUUUCUUUGGCUAAGUUGAUCAAGAAGUCCUGAUAUCAAUGGCAAUGGAUAUUGAUUCUUUAUUGUCAUUUUAUUAAGACCACAAUAAUUGACACACAUUUAUAAGGAUCCAUCUUUCUUCUUCACAAAUAAUAUUGAAGUACUAGCUAGUGACUUGGAAUGUCAAAUAAAAUUCUUAGCCAGAUUUUCUUCAAUAUAUUCUUUUAAAGUUACAAGCUCAUUCUGGUAUAAAUUAUAGAUGGGUCCAAAUGGUGGUUGAAGACCUUUUUGAAGGUUAAUUGCACAAUCGUGAGGACGAUGCUUAGGCAAGAUAUUCACAUUUUUCUUUUCAAAUAUAUCUAUAAAAUCUUUACACGCCCAUAGAAUUGUUGUUGUAGCAACCACAGGUUUUGAUUAUAUAUAUUCAUAGAUAGCAAACAUAGUACCUUGUUUGGUUGCCCUCAUAAAUGUUUUAGCUUCAAAAAAUAAAUGUUGUUUAAAUUUUGGCUUGUUGGGUGUUAGAAGCUUUUUCAUAGAUCUGUGAGUUCUAUGAUCUAUUAGAAGAAAUUCUAACUUUUGUGAUAUCUAAUCUAGUUGUGGAUUGUAUUUUUCAAGCCAUGAGAAUCCUAAAAUGAUUGGACUUGAUGGUGAGCUAAUGACAUUGAAUACUACUUGGCUGCUAUAGAUGUCAAAGGUUAUUUCAAAUCAAAUCAUUUCAUGAGUGAUGUCUCUAGAGGAUAAAGAUUGACCAUCUAUUACAUCUAUGUAUAUGCCUUUGUAUUUUUUGAUCGUACAGAUUUUGUAUGAUCUAGAAAAUUCUUUGUUAAUAAAACAUGCAGAGGCUCUUGAGUCAAGUAAUGUAUGACAAUCUAGUUUUGUGACUCCUUAUUAUAUAAAUAUAAUAAAAUGACGAGAAGGAUUGGUAGAGAGUAUAUGAUCUUUUUUGAUUUGUGAUAAUAAAGAAUCUAGCCACACAGUCCUUAUUAUAGAUGGACAUCCUUAUUUUUUUACAAUGCUUUUGAUGAUGUAGUCAUACUCCUCAUUUGAUAUGUACACUGACAUUUCUUUGAACAAUCAUUAAUCUUAUGGCCAGGUUUUUUACAGUAUAAGCUUAGGCUAAGUUCCCUUUGGUGCUUUUUAUCUUACUUAAAAAGAAGUUUGAAGCAAAUUGCAUCAAUUUGCAUAUCUUUUGCUUCCAACUGCUUAUUAGAAUUGGAUGGUGAAGAAGCUGCAAAAUAGUUGGUGUAUAUAUGUGAUGUAAUUGAAGAACAUUUAGCUUGUCAUUAUUGAAAUAAAUGGUUAUCACACUUCAUAGCUUGACUAAUGGCUUCAUUGAGUGUUAGAGGAUCUGGCAUAUAUAAUAAUAAGUCCUUGACAUUGUUUUUUAAUCUCCAAUGAAAUUGGCUCAUCAAUGCGUCUUCUCUCCAAUUUAUAUCACAUGCUAAUUGUCAAAAAUCUGAGGCAUAUAUUGAUGCAAAGUACGUUAUUCUCAAAGGCUUUGAAUUUUAGUUUUUGAUUAAUGAAUCUUAUCAUAUUCACUAAAUACUUCUGCAAAUGCUGCCAAAAAUUCUUCAAAAUUGUGUAAUAUAAGAGAAUUUUUUUCAAAUAAUGGAGCAAACUAAGAUAAAGCUUGACCCGAGAACAAGGUUCCAACCAAACCAACACAAGAUACUUCAAUGGAAUAUUGUUGACAUUGAAGUAAGGUGAUUAGUCAUACUUAGUUUACAAAGCUACAAAAUUUUGAGUGGAUACCAAUGAAUUUUUUUGGAAGAUUGAUCUUUGGUUUUUUUGUUGUUAUUAUUGUCAAAUCAUUGCUUUGAGUGGAUGCAUCUGCCAUGUUUGAAGUAGACAUAGUCGUUUAAGAAUUUAAAACAUCUAUUACAAUUUGAUGUCAUGGUUGAGGCACUCCAGGUCCUUGACCAUUAUGUAUGGUCGUAUAUAGUUCUUCAUUCUGCUUCAAUAAAGUCUAUGUCUUAAUCUUCAAUACUUCAAGAGUAUUAAUAAUAGAAUCUAACUUGAUCUCUUUUGAUUUUGUUAUAUUGAUUUUUUUACCUUUUGCCAUAGAAAAUUAGAAAAAUAUACACCUUUAAAAGAAAAGAAAAGAAAAAGAAAAAGAAAAAGAAAAAGAAAAUCUAUGAUAUAAAGAAAAGAAACCAAAAGAAUAUUAAAAAAAGAACAAUAUUAGUCUAAGAGAAGGUAAUCCGCAAUCUCUAGAAUGCUAUAGCACUUUCAAAAAGAGGGACAAUCUACUCUUUGUCAAGAAAGACCAACUUCCUAAUAUUGUUUUAUGUGAGUCUAGAUAAACUAUUAGGGACCAUAUACAAGACAAGGAUUUGAAACUAAGAAAUAGAGUUAGCUCGACAUUAGAAUAAUAACUAGAUACAAGGCAAAAAAAACCUAGUUAGACCAUAAGAAGUGAGUUGUCGAGACUAAGGAUCCCCUCACCAUUGACUCCUAUAUAUACUAAGUCCUAAGAAGCUUCUUGAGAAGUUUCUAUGAGGCUUGAGAACAAAGUAAGCCUAAGAUCUUUCUUUAGCAACUUCCUAAAUUAUCUAAAGCUUCUUAGAACCUUCUAGGACCUCCUAUGACAUUCUAGAACUUUCUUAGAAUCUAUUGGAACCUCCUAGAACCUUCAAGAGCCUUCUUAAAACCUACUGGUACCUUCUAGAAUCUUUUGAAAUCUUCUAGAACCUUCUAGGACCUUCUUCAGUUGUAUGUCUCUCACAAAUAAUGAAAAUGGAAGCAAUUCCAAUGAAGUAUAACAAUCAAAGAUAUCUUCUAUUUAAAAAAAUCCAAAGCAUUAUUAAAGAAUCAAGCACAUUGACAUUCAACAUCACUUUAUAAGAAAGAGGAUUAAAAUAGGAUUAAUUGAUAUGAAAUAUUGUACAAUUGAAGAAAUUCUUCUUGAUUUGUUAACAAAUGCACUUGUAAAAGAUAGACAUCACAUAUUCACAAAAGUAUUAAGAUUAAAAAUCUUUAAUUAAUAGCAAAGUGAAAGUGUUAAAAUAAAUAAAUAAAAAUAAAAAUAAAAAUAGAUUAAAUUAUCUUGUAGAAGAUAUUAUCUUAAAUAAGUUAUUAUAAUCAAAGGAUGGAUUUUUGAUAUGUGAAAAAAUAUCCUAUGAAUAAGAGAUGAGGUUAAGAGCUAAGAGUCUAAUUAAGAAGAUAAAAAAUCAACUAGAAAAUAUUCAAAGAUUAAGUAAGAGUAUAAAGUAUAUACUAUAGGAUAUCCUUGAAGUAAAUGAAUUGGCAAAAAGAUCCUAAGAGCAUAAAAGAUACGCCAAAGGUGAUCUUCAUAAUUAAUAAGAUAUGAAAAGAUAAUUUUGAUAUAUUCUUAAAUAGAUGUAAAAGUCAAAGGAUGGAAAUAGUUGUUAAGAGCAACAAUCACUACCUAUAAAUAAUAGAUUUUAGAAGUGAAAGUCAUCUUACUCCAUACUCCAUUUGUAUGUAAUCUUAUUUAUAUUAUGUAUUGUGACUUCAAAGUUAUUUUUUGUCAAUAAAGGCCAUAUUAAUUAAUGAAUGUAAGAUGAGUGAUUUGGAAGAGUUGUACUAUUUUUUUGGUAUAGAAUUUGUAAAAAAAUAUAUUAAUUACAACAUUAUAAUGAGCCAAAAUAAAUGCAUUGAGGUGGUAUUGAAACAAUUCAAUAUAAGGCACUGCAAAUCAAUUGCAAUACUUCUUGAAGCCAACUUAAAGUUGCUUUAACUCAUAGAUGGGAAGUUUACACAAAAUGAAAGUCAAAUGCAAAGUCUUUCAUACAAAGCAGUAGUAGGCUUAUUUAUAUAAGUUUUUAAGAAUUUAAGUAAUAAGCUUAGGCAAUAGUUAGUAAUUAGUUUUUCUUUUUAAUGUAUUUAUGUUAUAGAAUUUUUUCUAAUUUUUAAAUACUGAAAAAUUCAAUUAAUUUUCUUUAUUUUGGAAUAUAAGAAAUAUGUAUUUUAAAUUGUUCUAACAAAUUUCUUUCUAAAAAGCAUUUUGCAUGCAAAAUAGUUUGAAAAAGCUUCUUAUAAUUUGAAUAUAGAGCAAUCGCUCUUAUUUUGUAAAUUCCAAAAAUAUAGUCACAUUUCCGAAAAUAACUUGAUUUAAAUGUUUUCGGCAAAUUCCGAAUAUAAGGGGGCCUGCCCAUAUGCCACGGGAUCUCAAGCUUUGGUGGAACUGGCGAUCGAGAUGGACGUCCUCUUUCAUUCGUUUGUUAAUUCAUCCAGCAUUAUUAAGUCCUCGAGCUGUCCCCCUGGCCCUGAAACCCCCCCUGCCCCCCACCCGGCUGUGGGUCUGUUCCACUGAGCGUCAAGUUGUUCUCUGACGCACUGAGAUGCGGAUGGUCCACGCCAGAGAUGGAGGACGAUAGCUUCUAAUCCUCCAGAGAACGCGAUCCUUACUCUGGCUGCUCGUGACAAUUCGAUCCCAAGUUCUCUCCCAUCUAUUCUGGCUUCCCGGCGAAUACCUAUGAUCUUCUAGAGCUCAUGAUGACAAGGGUUAACUGGGGUUUUAUGCGCAUCAUUAUGUGAACAAUGAUCUUAGUUCUGGAGCUUUUUCAAGUCUUCCAAAUGCGCUACUCCUGACGUUGUUCUAUUCUAUUCCAUGUUAGUGCGGUUGUAGAUUUUUUACUGUCGUGCGAGUGUUCGUGGCGUACAAAUCUGAUUGAUUGGAAUUCAGGAAUUGUAAAGUGUUCUAUCCUAUCUUGUGUAGCUUUUAUGUCAUCUGUGGCUGGCCACAUGGACGCUCGCGACAUCUACGAAGCAGGCCCGCCGUGCGUCUCCCGCGCUGUUGAUGGCUUUGUUCGCAUCGGCAUGGUACAUUCUUCUAUUCUUAUGUGAUCACCUCUUUAGUACGUAUCUCUGCGAUCCCUGCACUCGCUAAGUAAUUGUGACUCUGUUCCUCUAUUCCUAUCUCUUGGGCAUUUCACAAGUAUUGCUUAGCUUUCAGGAUAGCUUUAGAUGUAGGAAUAUUGUUUCAGGUGAGGAGAGGGUAGUUGUGAGUUUGAGCUUGGUUGCCGGUUCUUGGCGUUAGGAAAGGCCUUAUUACAUGUCAUAUUAACCCCUCUUUUUCUGCUUUCCUGCGAGUGAGGGAAGUAACAAGGUGUGAUUGGUUUUAGUGAGACAGAUUAGGGUUUGCGUCGAACAGUUGAGUUCAGGGUUUGUUUUCGUCCUCUUAUUCUCUUAUGCACUUUGAGGAUCAUUAGUCAUAGGUUUAGGCUGUUGUGCACUGAUCUAUUGUAUGCUUGUUCAUAUGCUCAAUUGAGCGAGCAUUCACAGUAUUACUGGAGAGGUCAGCACUUCGUGAAGAGGGCCUGAGGCUUGUUUGAGUUUAGAUUAGUAAGGAUGGUAAUCGAUCCCAGAUUGAUGACUGGUAGAACAUCUUUGUACUUUUGAAACUGGUUCAGGUUUUAGAUGUGAUGAUUAUAUAGGAUAGUUUCACUUUCCAAAUUUCUACAUCUCGGAGUGGGAACAGAGACCAAGGCUUGUUCGUCGUUGGAUCGGUUUGUGUGCCUGGUCACCGAUCUUCAAUCGGCUUAGUUGUGGGGUGUCUCAGAUUGUUACUGCAUUCUGAACAGUCCUUUGUCCCCUCCUCUAAAGGUAACUCUUCACUUCAAUAGCUGAUGUUUGAUGCUUUGAGCCUGAUGUAAGAACUCAGCACAAGUGUUAAGAACAGACGGAGAUGUAAAUGGGGAAUGUAGAUGCCUUUGAUACGAUCUUUUUUGGAUCUCCUCUGUGGAUAUGUUUUUUGUUCAUAUUGAGUGACGCAUGCAUUGGCCUAGUACUGUGGACCAAAUUUCUCUCAUCAAUUCGGUAGAACUUUUAAUGUCUGUUGACGAUGCCAAUUGUCUACCUUUGACCCGCAUGUUUACAAUCCAUGUGUCAUGCUUCUGAAGUGGUAUUUUUUGCUGAACGUACAAUGUGUUUGCAUAACUAGAUAGGUAGGAUACGUAGACGCUUUCCAACACUUAUGGGUUCAAGUACUGAUAGUUCAGCGUGCACAUUGCAGGCAGGAGUUGCUUGGGGAAUGUUUAUGGGAUCCUAUGAUGCUGUUAAAGAAGGUGCAUUGUCGACCUGUCAAAGUUUACAAAUUAUUUCAGUAUCUUUCAUUUUAUUGGAUCGUUUUUGUUGUGAUAGUUUUUGAACUUCUCUCGUAAUUAUGAGUGAUUCACAAGGAAUGUGUGAUUAUGAUCUGGCUCAGGUCAUCUCGGAGCAUCGCGGGCUUUGUACGUGGUGAGUGGACCAUUUGAUCUCAAAAUAUUCUUUUGCAUUCUGGUGGAGUCAUUGACGAACAUGCACUUUCUAAAAGUGGAGGUCGACCUCAAAGGACGUUGAAUUUUUCUCUUUGAUUGUAUGUAUUUCACUGAAUAUUAGGGCAUGUGAGCAGCUUUCUGGACAUCGUGCAUGUAGAACUUAGGUAUCCUAUUAGGUGUGUCUCAUGAAUGUAGGUGUGAUUUUCAGUUGUAAACAGGCUGUUGCCGAUAGUUGAUGGCCUUCUUUUUCCACAGGCGAAGUCGAUAACGAGGAAUGGUCUGGGAUGGGGUAAGUCUUUUAAUUAUAAUGUCUCCUUGUUUAGACAUAUGCUUUAAUUGUUUUCUCUGUUUCAUAUGACUUAAACUGUCUCUUAUUGUAUUUUCAAUGAAAAUAUUUCAACUACAACCUGAUAAUGGUCAGGGUGGAUGGUCAAGGUUGUUUUGCAGGUGCAUAUUUGGGACUCAACUGUGGAGUUGAAUCCGUUAGAAAUAAAAAAGAUUGGGUAGGUUUCUGUUUCUCUUGGUAUUGUAGUUAACAUAUAGAGGGAGAGUUUUGCACCAGGUUAGAUGUUUGAGAAUAUUAGUGAUUCACAAGCUCACAUAUAACAUAGAUCAGUUCCAUCCAAAGAGGUUAAAUGAUCAUGAGCGAAACUAUUUCAAUGAUGCAUGCUGUCAAUUUUUUUUAUCUGCUUCAUUCUAGACCAAUUUGCGAAACAUCUGAUCAUUCAUGUAGCUACUAGUAUUAAGUUUGUGUUUUAUGAUGGCAGGUGAAUGCAAGUAUAUCGGGGGCUAUAACUGGAGCUUUUGUGUCAGCUCGAACUGGGAAUGUUACAAAAAUGCUAGGCACUUCAGUUCUUGUAUCUGCAAUUGCAACUGCUGGAGAUUUUCUUCGGCCUGCUCAGUAUCCGCCUACUGGUAUAUGAAUGUAGAAUUUCGGACCUUGUGUAUUUCAUUGCAACACAAACUAAGCAGUACUACUCAUUCCCCCUGAAGCGCGGUGUCUCGACGACCUCUAAGAUGUUUGAUUUUGUGCUUACCAGGACGGUUACUAGUUGAUAGGAUCUGGCUGUAAGUAGUACAUUAGCUGUUAAACGGAGCUAAUACUUGAGUAAUUGUUAAACAGAGCUUAUCUUGGACCCUCGUAUUGUAAGAAACUCCAGUAGUGGCAAAACAUUUCUUUCCGUUGUGAGAAUCUCCUAUGCACUUUAAUAGUUAUCAACAUGACUAACUACUUUUUGUGUCUUUUUUUAUAUGAUUUUCUUAUUUUGUUAUGUUCUUUUCCCAUCAACAACUAGAACGGAGUGUAACAAGAAGCAAGCAAAGAAAUUAUUACUGUAUUUCCAUUAUCUGUCUAUAUAAAUAAUGUGAAAUCCUAAGUUCUAAUCCUCGGACGUUUUUGCAAUCCUUUGUGAACUUUUACCUGCUCUGAAGAUGGUUGGCAUGCGAAGUCCGUUCUUGAGUGAGGUCGAUGCCUGCAGCCUUCCGAUAUGUUCUAAAACAUUGCAACCUCACGAGAACUUACAUAUGUUUUUUACAGGUGCGAAGUAGUGGGCACCCUUGUUGGAACUUAAAAAUAAAAUACUUGCAUGUAUUAAUUUACUGUCUAAAAAGUAACAAGAAAACAUUCUUAGAUAAAGUAGCACACGUUAAAUUAGAACAAUAUUGUUAUGCAAUAUAAUCUAUUAUAUUAAGAUAAUCCAAUUAAUACGCAAAAUUAAGACAAUUCAACUUAAAUUAUGAUACAAGCAUAAAUUUAUAUAAAAUAUUUAAAAGACAAAUAAAAAUAUAAAUUUAUUUAUAUGUAUUUUUAAAAAAUCAUAAUCAAAAUCAAAAAUAUAUUUGAAAAAUAAAUAAGCAUGAAAAUGAUUAUUAGAAGUUUUAAGUACUUGAAAAAUAUAAAAUCUUGAAUUAAAUAGAAAUACAAAAAUAAAAUUGACGAAAUUGUUGUACAUCUAGAUAUGUAUGAACUAAUAAAAAACAAUGUAUAGAUUUUUUAAAAACUACUUUUGCAAAUUCUUUUUCACAUAGCUUCAUCAAUCUUCAAGGUGGCUUUUACGUGGGGUACUAAUAGGCUUGCAUUCUUAUAUAUUGAAGUGUUUCAAUAUUUUUUUAAUGUAAUUGCUUUAGUUCAUUGUAAUAGUAUAUUUGGUACAAUUUUGUAUGAAAACAACUUCAAGAUAAUUAAGCAAUUUUCUUAAGUAAUUUAUUUCAUACUCUUCUUUUAAUUUUGGCUUUGUUUAUUCCAUCUUUUCAAUAGUGUUUGCUAAGAUGAUAAAAUCAAUAUAAAGAAUUACAAUUAAUAAACACUCCUUUGAUUACAUUGCUUACAAAAAAUGAAUAGUUUUAUUCUUUGCAAAUCCUUCUUUUAGAAGAAAUAUAUGAUUGCAUUCAUACCAUGCUGUUAAAGAAUGCUAGUCUUUGUAAAGGUUUCUUUAAAAAUCAUGCAAGUUACUUUUUGCCUUGUUAUUCCAUUUCUUUAAGUUGAUCUAUGUAAAUGUCUUUUUGUGAUUUUCCAUUAAAGAAGGCUUACAUCAUAUCUAUUUAGUACAAUUCUAAGUCCAUUAUUGCUCUAUUUGUUAAGGAUAAUCAAAGCCUUAUUUAAAAUACCUUCGAUUUAAAAUAUCAUUUUGAUAAAUUGUAAAUAGACAAAUGGCAACAAAGCUUUAAGAAAAGUUAUUAAAGUGACAAUUAGAAUUUAAAUAGGAGUUGUUAUAGAUAUCUGUAUUUACUUAGAUAAGUAGAAUUAAUUAAAAAUUAAAAAUUAAACUAUUGAUAUCUUCUUAGGAAGAUUUUUAGAAAAUGUAUAGAUUAAGAUUUGAUUAGAAUAUUGAUUAAGAUUUUAUUAGAUUAUUGAUUAAGAUUUUAUUAGAUUAUUGAUUAAGAUUUUAUUAGACAUUGAUUAAGAUGUUAUUAGACAUUUAUUAAGAUUUGAUUAGAGUUUAAUAAAAUCUUAAUCAAUGUCUAAUAAAAUCUUAAUAGAAUUUAAAGUAAUUUCUAAUAAAAUCCUAAUAAAAUCUUUACCAGAUAUUAUUUAUAAUCUAACUAAAUCCUAAUUAAAUCCUAAAAUCAAAUCAAAUCUUAAGUCUUAAUUUUAACCAAAUUCUAAUCAAAUCUUAUAGUAAAAUAAAUCCUUAAUAAUUAAUGAUUAAAUUAUCAAUUAUGUCUCAAAAUUUUUAGGAUUCUUAAUUGUUUAGUCGAAAACAAGUACAAAAGAUUUAAAAAACAUUAAAUACAUCAAAAAGAAGAUAAAGUUUUUAAUCUAUUUAAAUGUUGGCUAACCUCUCUCUUCAAUCUUGAUGCCAAUCUCUUAGCCUCAAUAUCUCUUAUUAUACCAUAGAAUUGCUCUCAAAACUUACAAAAUUGUAGCAAAUUAAGUUUUUUGGAUGAUUAUUAUUAUUAUUUUAAUCCAAUUAGAAAAUUAUUGUAAAUCUUAAAAAUCCUUAUUGAUCUUCUAAACUCCAAUUUUUAAGAUUCCAACCAAGUUGAAUUUCAAUAACUUUAAAUUUAAUCAUUUAAUGAAUCUUAAACUUCCAACAUAUAAAAAACUAUGAUUAUAAUUUCAAAUAUUUUCAACUAUAGAUUUACUACAAAUCUAAUGACAUGCUCCAAAAUAUGAAUCUUUUUAUUUCAUAAAAAUCAAUAUCAUAUUAAAAAUCUUAACUUUGCAAAGUUAUUAUAAAGCUAUUAUAAAUUCAAAUCACUCAAGACUAACUUCUAUGAGCCAUUGAAUUGACUCACUUUGAUAUUUAGUAUAAAAAAUAUACUUAUUGUGCUUAAAAUACAAAUUUUAUGAAUUAAUAUUAAAAUUUUAGGAAAAAAAUAGAAAAUAGAUUGCUAGUAGUAGACAUGCAAUCUAGGAUAGAGUUUAGUAAGAAAAAACUAUAAAGAAUAUAUUUAUUUCUAGUUAGCUAAUAGUAGAGGAAUUACAAAGGAAGUAGUCUUGAUGUCAAAAAAAGAAAAAAAAAAAAUUUAGUGAAGUUUAAUUAUCAUAGGUUUGAAGAUUUUUUCCAAAUUCAACAAAUCCAAGCAACAAAGUGUUUAUUCUAAUUUAUGGAAGCCCUUCAAAUGCAAUGGAGGCAUCAAAUGUACCAUGUAGAGUGAAGAAAACAAGAUCAACAUGCUUUCCUUGAAAGUACAAGUAGAGAAAUAAAAUUCUCAUUUUUUGAAGAAUUUUACAAGUAUUACGUAAAUCCUUAUAAGUAAAAAAACCUUCAUAAAAGUUGCAAUGACGUAAAGAUUGAUACAUGUGAGUAGUCCAUCUUAGCAUAAAAAGGUGUUUUAAACACAGUGGUUAAAUUAGAUUUAUCAAAAAGUGUUUUUUUUCCACUUACAAGAGCCAUCAGUCUUGGUCACGAAAUUAGUUCUUAGAAAAAGGAAGGCCAUAGAUCUACAUUAGGGAUCUUAGAGAUCAAGGGCGGAGAUGUGGCCACACUUCCACAAGCCACCAUUCAAUUGUAUAAGAAUGGUUUGGUUUUCUAAGCCUCUCUCUCUCUUUUCUUUUGAUGAGGGCGAAGCCAUGCCAAAGUGUAGUCUCAACCUUAAUCUUAAUCUUAUUUUUUUGCUUCUUUCUUGAUCUUAGAUCUCAUUGUGAACUUUAGGAAAAUAUGAGCAUUGGAUUUGUAUCAUGGGUGUUGCUUGUUGUGGUUUAAAAGGCGCCUCUUUGCAAUUAGUAGUCACCAACCAUUUCCACAGUCAAAAGCGUUUGAGGGGCCUCGGAUUUCCCUCAAUCAAUCUAUGGUUUUUUAUGAUUUGUAAGUAAAUAUUUUUCAUCACAUAGCCCUUGUUAUUAUCUUUACAACGAGCUAAGGCUUGCUCAAUUUGGAGCUGAACCAGAGUUUUGGUAAAUUUUUGAGUGCGAAGGGUGGCUACCUUAGUAGUUUCAAUAACCCAAUUUUGAAAAGGCAUUUCUUCGUGCUACCUAAAGGAAUUAUUUUAAAAUUUUGAAAAUACAAGCACCUUCACACUGAGCUUCUAUUGAAAUAAAUUUCAUUAAAUUUGAAGAGGUUUUGAAUUUUUAACGACUUUUUGAGUGAAGGGGGGUGGGCUGCAAUGGCAGGCCCAAUGAUCCAACUUUGAAGAAGCAUUUCUCGCAGCUCAAGUACAAGAUGGCCACGAAAAUUUUGGAACAGGAGAAUCUCGAAGUUAAAUUUCCAACACAUCAAAAAUCACUAGAUUUGGAGCUAAUUUGGAUUUUUUUUCAAAUUUUGGAGUAAAAAAGGGUGCUUCCUUCAAUUCUUGGACGUUGUCAAGAUACUUUUGCUUGUACCUCUCUUUAUUUUAUUUUUUCUUUCAUUUUUUUAUAUUUUUAUUUUUAUUUAAAAUAACUUAUAACUUCUACAUUUCACUUUUGGCUUUUAUUUUUAACUUUUAAUCUUCUCUAUUUUACUUUUAUUUUUUUAUUUUUUGAUCUUUACUAUCUUUUUACUUUUUCCUUUACUUUAAAUUUUAAAACUUUACUUUUAACUUUUAAUUUUUAACCCAAUCUUUAAAAAAUUCAUAGUUACUAUGGAUUUAUGAUAAUAACUUAAUUAAUUACUUUUACCAUCAAUUAUUUAAGAAGUAAAAAUUUAUAUAUUUUAAAAAAUGAUAAAAUAAUAAAAAAAUAAAGAGUAAUAAAAAUAACUAAUAAAUAAUAAUAAUAAUAAUAAAAUAAAAUAAAAUAAAAAUUUAGCCAAGUUAUCUAAUUAGAAGUAGAAGAAAGAAUUGUUUUGCAUGAAAUUAAGGAGUGAAUUAUCAUUGUGAAUUUGAGUAAUAUUAGAGGAUUUGAUUAAUAACUUGGUGUUUUAAGAAGAAUAAGUAAUAAGUGGAUUAGAAUUUAAAUAAUAUCUUUAUUUUUAAAUUUAUAUAGUCAAUUCACUUAUUGUGAGUUAGAAUAAACUUCCAAUUAGUGGAGGUUUAUUUUAGCUCACAACUUCAAAAAAACCAUUCUAUAGUUUUCUCUCAAAUCAUACUCUUCCAUCAACCAAAAAAUUUCGGAUUUGCUAUAAAGACACGAUUUUGUGCCACAAGAUCUGAUAUUGAUCUAAGUUCACAACUGGUCAUUUUUGAGUAUCAACUGUCUUAUUUAUGGUUCUAAAAAGUAAGUAAAAAUAUAUUUUAUAAAAAAUAAUACUAGCACUUACUGAUUUUAUUACUUUCUUAGAUAUUACCUAUAUUUAUAAAAUAUUCUUUUACUAUAUUUCUAAUUAAGAUCUUCAUAAUAUAAUCAUUUUUUUUCCCUUUAUCUAAUAUUUGUGGUAUAAAAUGACAACAUGUGUCAUGCAAUUUGAAAAUGUAUCAUAUGAUUGAUAGGACAUGAUCACAUAGUUCUUUAAUAGAUAAUUUUUUAACUAAUCCAUCACCUUUAAUGUAUAAGUUAAGAUGAUUAAACCAUUAGUAUAAAAGUUGACAAUCAAAAAGACAUCUUUUAAUUUCAUCAUAUAUAUGGAAUAAUCACCUUUAUUCCUUAUAAAUACUUCAUUCAAAAAAAUGUAUUAAUUUAUUGCUACUAUGUCCUUAAUUAUUGCUUAAAGCCAUACAAAGAUUUCUUUAAUUUAGAAACAAGGUGUUGUUUGCUUUUUUGAAUAUAGCUAUGAGAUUAAUCCAUAUAAAAGAUUUUUUUGAACUUUUUAAUUAAAAAAUUAUUAAAGUAAAUAAGUAAUUAUAAAAUUAGAUUAAAUUAUCUUUUAAUAGAUAUUAUUUUUGGUAAUUUUCUAAUAGUUAAAAGAUUAGCUCUUAUAAUGUGAAAAGACAACUUCUAAAUAAGUAAGAAUAUUAAGCUUUAAGCAUAAGAUCAAUAUGAUAAUAAAUUUAUUAUAGAAUAUGCUAAUUUAUAAUAGACAUAUAUCUUUAUUCUAAUAUUUAUUUAUAUAAUUAAGUAGAAGUAGGUAAAAAUAAAUUUAUUUGAUAAUAUUUUCUAAAAAAACUUUCAAGAAGUUUUAUAGAUAUUGCUUUGAAUUUACAUGUAUUUGUAGUUGAUUAGUAGGUUAAAAACUUGGUCAAUAAGUUAAUCACAUGUUUGUAGCCUGUGGAAUAAGUUAAUUAUAUGGCAUAUAUAUAAAAAACUUGCCUUACAAGUUAAAAUAUGUGUCUUACAAAGUCAAUAUGUUUCGGAGGUCUAAUAUGACAUUGCCAUGUAUCUCCUAAUUAAAAGUAUAUAUGGAAGCAGGAAUGAAGCCUUCUUCACUCUUAUCAAUGCCAUUCUAGUUUUUAGUCUUAUUUUGAAGACUUUUUAAUGUUCUUGUCUUUAGUAAUAGUCAUUUUAGUUUAAAAUUAUAUCAUCUUUGAGUGAUUAUCUAGUCUAUUUGAAUGAUACAAGAAUAUCUUUAACUUUUAUUUCUUUAAGAUUCAUGCCUUUGAUAGUUUAAUAAUAGUAAAGAUUCAUUAUUCUUAUCUUAUUUUAGAAGUGAAUUGAUUACCUUAUUUCUAUUGUUGUAUUUUGAAGGUUGUAGAUUACCUAUCUUUAAAAAAAUUAUUUAAUUUUGUAAUAAUAAUAUUUUUCUUAAUGAAAGUGGAUUAUCCUUCUUUUAUAGAAAAUUUCAUUUGAUAUUAGAGGUUGUGGAUUACCUUCCUCUAAUUUGACUUUUGGAUUUUUUAGGUUGUUUGAAAUAGAAUGAAAAAUCAUAGAUACUACACUUAGUAGAAGUAAGAAUAUAUUUGCAACUAUUUGUGAUCUUUAAAAACUUUUCAAUACUCUUAGAAUAGAAAUCUUAUGCAUCAUAAGUACCAACUAUGGAAACACUAAUCUUAUACCUAUGAAAGAAGUUUAGAGUUUUUGUCAUAAAAUUAUGCAAUUAAAGGAUACAAGUAAAUUGACCUCAUAACUAAAUCCAAGAAUUUUUGCUUUUAUAAAUAUGAGAACAAUAAAGAUUAAUAUGCCCAAGAAUUUGAUGGAAUAAGAUCAAAAUUUCAAAUAUUUUUGUAAUAAAUCAAGGUCUAUCUAAAGUUGCAUCCCUUCCAAUACCUUAAUAGAUUUAUUCAAGUUGGAUUCUUAGAUAUAUUUUUAUUUGGAAGUGUUCUUUUUUGGUUUGUGCCUUUAAUGAAAAAUAAUUUACAACUCUUUUAUGAUUUGAAUUCAUUCGUAAAAGUAUUUAUGGUUGCAUUUGAAAAAAAUAUUUAAAAAAGAAUAGUAGAGAUUAAGCUAUUACUUUUAUGACAAAGAUCACAUUCAGCCACUAGAUAUAUUGCUAAAUUCCAAAACCUUACUUGUGAUGUGGAUUGAAAUGAUAAAGUCCUUAUCAAUAAAUUUUGAUAUGGAUUAAAGAAUUACAUCAAAGUUUUAUUAUUAAUAAUGCCAAAAAUAAAAUAUUUAAAAUAAUUUAUUAUUGAAGCCAUUAAAUGUGACAAUCAAUCAUUUGAAAGAUGUUAAGAACAAAGACUUGAUUGGAGAUAAACAAGUCAAGUAAUAAUGGCAGCUCCUAAGUUUUCAAAAAAUUAUUUAUCAAAGCCGAAACCAAUAUAAAUUGAUACAAUAUAUUUUGAAUCCCUUAUGGAGCAAAAAAAAAGACUUAUACUUAUAUUACUCAAUAUUAUCCAAAGAAAUAAUAUAAUCAUAAAAUGAAGAGCAUAGUUGCUUAAGAAGAUAAUUUGUCAAAAAAUAAGUUUCUCUAAUUACAACAAGGACCAUGUGGCUGAAAUCUUCUAUAAAUUAUAAUAAGAGUUUUAUUCUCUCUUAAAAUCUUUCACCUUAUUUAAUAAUAGAAGUUUAUUUAGGACUAAAAAAUCACAAAGUCUUAUCUUUAUUAAAUUUAGGAUCCUUAAUCUAUUUCAUAAGCAAAGAUUUUGUCAAAAAAUAAGAGAUAUUGUUAGUCAAGAAAACUAAAUAUAUACAUAUAAAAAUCAUAGAUGGUCGUUUGUUGUCUUUUGGAAAUGUUAUCCAUGAAACUAUUUUUUUAGAUGUAGCAAUUAAAGAUCACAAUAGCAUAGUAAUAUUUAAUGUAAUAAAAUCUCUAUUUAAUUUGAUUAUUUUAGAAUUAUCUUAAUUUUAAAAAGUAUAAUCCUUAAAUAUAUUAGAUUUCUUGUAACCUUAAAUUUUUUUAUAAUUUGAUCCAAAGUUCCAUUAAUUAAGUAAAAAUAUGUAAGCCUAGUACAUCCAAACCUAUAUUGAUAAGUUUGAAAGCUUUUAUUAUUAAGGCAAAAGUAGAAUCAUCUUUUGUUUUAUAUGCUACUUCCAUUUUUGAUGGUGGAAAGAUGUCAAGUGAAAUUCUUAGCUAGUUCUAAGAUUUCUAAGAUUUUUUUGAAAAAAAAAUACAGAUAUUCUUCUAAAGCAUUGAUCUUAUAAUUGUUCAAUUGAUUUAUAAGAAAGGACUCAAUAAUCAUUUAGAUAGAUCUAUAGCUUAUCGUAAAAAGAGUCGGCUACACUAAAAAAAUAUAUUGGAGAGAAUUGGUAUUAGAAUUUCAUACGCCAUUUAAAAUCUUCAAUACAAGCUUCUAUUUUAUUUGUGAAAAAAAAAAGAUGGAUCUUUACAAAUGAGCGUAGACUAUCAAAGACUUAAUCAGAACAAUAAUAGAUAUUCCUUACAUUAAAUUUUAUGACUUUUCAAUCAACUCAAUUAAACAAAGAACUAUACAAAAAUAAAUCUAUGAAGAGUAAAUAAUUUAGUCCAUAUUAAAGAAGGAGAUGAACAAAAGAUUUCUUUCAAAAUUCUAAAACUUACAUUUUAACAUGUCACAAAUGAUAUUAUUCAUGAUUUUUUUGAUAAUUUUAUUAUUUGUUAUUUAGACAAUAUUCUAAUCUUCUAUAAGAACAUAAAAGAAUAUAAAUUUUAUAUUUUUCAUGUAUUACAAAAACUUAAAGAUGAAUUUUUGGAUCAAAUUUUACUAUAGGUGGUGAUUUGUUACGAAUAGGAUUAGGUGACAAGAUCCAUCCAAUAACUUUUCAUUCCAAAAUAUUUUUAGCAGUUGAGAUUAAUUAUGAGAUCCAUGACAAAGAGCUUCUUACAAUUAUGGAUUAAUUUUAAGAAUGGCAUUAUUAUCUAGAAAGCACUUCUAAUCUAGUCACCAUAUAUAUAGAUUAUAAGAAUCUUAAGUACUUUACAUCAAUACAUAUUUUAAAUCAUUGCCAAGCCUGUUAGAGCAUAUUUUUAUAAAUAUUUGAUUUCAAGAUCACUUAUUUACAUAGAAAAUAAUAAAGUUUAUUGAAUGCCUUUUUGAGAUCUUCUUAUCUUGUACCAAAAGAAAAAAAAAUGCAUCUUUUAAUUAACAAAGAAUGAUUUUUUUGAAGUUGGAGUAUUUUCAUCUUUAAGCAAUAAAAUCAACAUUGACUAUUGAUUCAACCUUUGUCAAGUAAAUUCAAUCAAGUAUAUCCUUUGAUCCUCUUAUUCAUGAUAUUAAGAAUAAUUCUUUCUAGUCUCAUAAUACUUUUAAGUUCAAGUUUUAAAAUAUUAUAUAAAUCUGAGAUAUGAAAGCAUAUUUAUAAUAGUAGACUACUUUAUCAAGAUGGCACAUCUUGUAUCAUGUAUAAAAUAUUUCAGAAGUGAAGAAAUAGCUAAGUUUUUUUUUAACAAAAGCUAUUACUAUUAUGGAUUACUCAAAGAUAAUAUAUUGAAUAUGAAGACUCAAUUUGUAUCCAGAUUUUAGAGAAUCCUUUUCAAAAUUCUAAAGGUAGAAAUAAAGAUCUCUUCAAAUUUUCAUCCUCAAAUUGAUAGGCAAACAAAACAAGUAAAUCAAAUUCUAGAGCACUGUUUGAGGUGUAUCAUCAACUAUCAUCAAGUUGAUAAGAUAAUUUUUUUUUCUAUUGGCUAAGUUUGCAUACAAUAAUUUGGUACAUUGUUCUACUCAAUAAAUAUUUUUUUUUUAUCAAUUAUGAUUACCAUCCAAGAUUUGAUACUUUUGACUUUUUAAAAGUUGAUAAUCUUUUGACAUAAGAUUUGAAAAAUUAUUUAUUAGAGUUACAUAUAACAAUUAAGGUGUUGUUAAAUGAAGCUCAAAGAUGACAAAAGAUCAAUGCAAAUGCCUAUUAUAAGGAAAAACCAUAAUUUAAUAUGGAUGAGAAGAUAUGGUUACUUUAUCAAAAUAUUAUGACUAUUUAUCCUUAUAACAAGAUGGACUAUUGUAAGCUUGGAUCUUUUUCUAUUUCUAAACAUAUAAAUCUUGUUAUUUAUUGAUUACAUCUAUUGAUUCUAUGAAGAUCCAUCAUUUAUUUCAUAUAUCACCUCUUGAGCUAUGUAAAACAAUGAAUAUUUUAAGAAGAAGAAAAAUGUUGCUUCUUCAUGUAGAAGUAGAUAAUAGUCAAGAAUUUAAAUUAAAAAGUCUUAGAUUCAAGACAAUACCAAAAUAGAUUAAAAUAUCUUAUUCAUUGGCAUGGAUAUGAUAUUAGUGAAUGUACAUGGGAGCUAGCAAAGAAUCUUAUAAAUGCAACAAAGAAAGUUGAAGCUCUUUGUCAACAACAUCCAUCAAAAUCAAGAUGAAGAAUAGUAAAUUUUUUCUAUAAAAAAAAUAAGAUCCAAAGAAGAUAGUAUUCUACUUUCUAUUUUUUUUUGUAAAUUUUGUGUAUUUGUGAUGCUAAGGAGAUGGAGAACUAACAACAAGUAGAUUCAACUGAAGAACUUUCAAUUGUUGACUUAUCAAAUGAAACAUUGUAAUUGCCAUAACUUUCAAGUCAAUAUAAUCAAAAUGAAGAUCCUCAAGAAUAACAUGUUUUUUUUUGAAUAGAUGGAAAGAUACAAUACAUUUAAUAUCAUGACCUUGCAAGUGACUCUCAAUGUUUGGUGAUUUUAAUAGAAGUAGAAAUAAUUUUUGAUAAUUUUCUAAAUGUAUUAUUUGAACGAAGUUACAAAGGUUUGAACAAUAAUCAAAUAAUAAGAUAGUCUUCUUGUCCUAAUAUAAGAUAUGAUUGAUGGCUAAAAAGACCUAUCAACUAUCUUCAAAAAGAAUAAAGAUCACAAUAUGUGGUAAAUAUAAUUUGCAGCAUCUUGGAUUUCUUCAACCUAUAAUGACUACUCUUCAUAGAAUUCAUUCCUAAAAAGAAGGACAAUAAGAUAUUUUUCAAGUAGAUUGAUUAAAAUUAGAAUUAUAGUUAAAACUUACAACUAAAUUAGUAAAUUAAUUGAUUUGUUACGAUUUAGAACUUGGAUUUGGGCUUGAAAAUAGUCAACUUAGGAAUAAAAAUGUGUCUUAGAAACAAUGGUGGUAUUAAUUUUACUAAAAAGAUAUUAGUUUUUUAGUUAUGAGAAUUUCAAAUCUAAAAAUUGGAUUAAAGCUUAGAGUGAUUGUGGACUUUUUAUCUUGGUUAGGCAUUUUUUGAUUUAGAUGGUAGAGAUGUGGCCGCUAGAGUGAUUGUGGAUCCUUGAUCUUGCUUAGGGAUUUUUUAAUUUGGAUAGUAGAAAUGUGGCUACUAGCUUUGGACCUCUUCUUACUUAAUUUAGAGAGCUUGGGUGGCCAAUUUUUUUUUUUUUUUUUUUUUUUUUUUCCUCCUUUUAUAAGGCAAAGCCUUGCCAAAUUAUUUCUAAGCUUUUAAUUGAAGAAAUUUUCUCCCACCUUAUCACAGCAUUUGUAGUUAUAUUCUCUCAGUCAUUUAAUUUUUUAUACUUUUGAACAAUAUUUAAUAUUCAUCUUUUUCUAAUCACUAAAUUUUCAAUGACAUAAGCCACAAGCAAUUUGAAGUUUAGAUGGUUUUUAAACAAAUUUCCAAGUGGUAGGGGGUCUAUUAUCCUUAGCAAUAAAGGAGUAUUAACUUCAAAAAUUUAUAACUUAGUGACCUCUAAUUCAACUUUAAUGUGACUUACUAUUUUAAAUGAAAUUUAAAAUCUUAUCUAUUAAAAUAUUUGAGUCUUUAACUUCCAAGUUAUAAAAAAAUUUUGAUAAUUUUCAAAGUGAGGACGGAUCUGUUACCUUAGCAGUUUAGAAUAAUUAAUUUUAGAAAAAUGUAGCUUAAUGCCUACUAAUGUUUUUUCAUCAAAUCUUUUUUGAAAAAAAAACUUGCUAAGUGUAGUUUUAAAAAAAAUUAGAGGUGUUAACUUUGAAUCAUUAAACAACUUUUAGUAAAUUUUUAGGUAGAAGGGAUUUCUUGCCAAGGCAGUCCAAGUGGCUAUAAUUUGAAAAAACCAUAUCUCAAGCAUUUUAGAUCAGAUUGUUGUAAGAUUUAAAAAAGUAGAAGUAUGCUAGAGUUGACUUUAAUCACACCAAAUUUCACAUGCAUUGGAGUCUUAAGAAAUUUUUGGUAAAGUUUUGAGUGGCAAGGGUGGCUACUUACAACUUGACAUUCUCAAGGUAUGUUAUUAUUUCCUUUGCAAUCAUCCUCAAAUCACAUUUUUUUAGCACUUAAUUUGCUAUAUUAAUUUUUAAUUAUCUUAUUAUCAUUAAUUAAUAUUAUUUAAUAAUUUUUAAGAACUUUUUCUUCAUUCUAGUAAUUAAUGAUAAAGUUUCAUCUUUUUAUCUAUCUUUAUCUUUAAAAGAUAUAAGAAAAUAAAAAUUAACCUUAUCUUUUCAUUUUCACCUUUUAUUUUUAAUCAUAGUUUAAAAAUUUUAUUUUUUACCUUCAAUUUUUUAAUGUGGUUAUUUUUAAAUUCUUCACUCAAUUUUUAGAGAUUAAUUUUAAUUUAAUUUAAUUUAUUUUAUUUUAAUUCAUAACUUUCAGAGUUUAAGCUUGAUCAAGUAAACCAUGGAAGGCACUUAACUUAUUAGAAUAUAAAAUUUAAGAAAUCAUAAAAAAAUUAUACUUGAUUCAUUAUAUUUGGUUGGAUUAAUUAUAAUUAUUAUAUUAUUUUUAUUUAUUUAUUUAUUUAUUUAUUUAUUUAUUUAAUUUUUUUUAUAUUUAUGGUUAAAGUGUCCAUAUUGGUUAAUAUUAAAUUUUAAUAUAAGUUACAAUUGAAUAAAAUUAAACUUAAAAGAGGAGUGAAAAAAUUGCUCACAAAAAGCUAAUAUAUGGAGUUUGUCAUGUGCUCCUAUUUGUCACAAUACUGCACCUAAGGCAAAGUUUGACAUAUUUGUUUCUAUAAAAAAUAAGUUAGAUAAGUCAAAACAAUAUAAAAUUGAUAUAGACAUAAUUUUUUUUUUAAAGCAUCAAAUAAUGCUUUGAUUUCUUUACUCCAUUUUAGUUUGUCUUUACAAGUCAAAUGUGUAAGUGGUGCUACGACUUAAAAAAAUUCGUGAUUAAGAUCCAAUAGUAAUUGGCAAAGCCCAAAAACAUUGCACGUCUCUUAUUGUUCUUCAAAUCUUUCAAUUCAUGAUGGUUUGGACUUUCUUCAGAUCCAUUAUUAGCUUUUCAUUGGAAAUGAUGUAUCCUAGAAAGUCAACUUCAGUAGUGUAGAAUACAUACUUUACUAACUUCGCAUAUAAUCUUUCUUCUUUAAGUUUUUGUAAUACACAACAAAUAUGAACUUCAUGCACUUUUGUGUUUUUAGAGUAGAUUAAGAUGUUGUUCAAAUAAAAAAUAAUAAAAUUAUCAAAAAAUUCACAAAAGACAUCAUUUAUUAAAUGUUGAAAAGCAGCUAGUGUAUUUGUGAGUCCAAAAGGCAUGACAUUAUAUUCAAAAUAUCCAUAUCUAAUUCAAAAUAUAAUUUUUCAUUCAUCUCUUUCUUUAAUGUAUAUCAAAUUAUAUGCUUUUAUUGAAAAAAAAAUAAAAAUAAAUUACAAGCCAUAAUACUUAGCAUCAACAAGGUUGCACACAAAAUGAAGUGUGGAAUAAGAUGACUCUAACUUCUAACAUUCUUUACUUAUAGCUAGAGUUUACAUCAAUUGUAGAUGAACUUAAUCAUCUUCAUCAUUUUUUCUUAUAUUGAAGUAAAUCCUAGAUUCUUCUUAUCCUAACUACUAUCUAAAAACCUUAGCCACCACUAUAAUAAAAUCUUAUAAUCCUUUAUUAUCUUUUCUUUAUUAAAAAUUGUAGAAUAGAUAUUAGUUCGUUUCUAUAAGAUAUUAGUAAAAUAGAUUAAUAGUCCAUAGAAUAGUCAGUUCAAGAAGACGGAUGAUUGAUUUAGUUAUUCAAAGUGAUUAAUUAUAGGAUUACGGUUAGGAUCUAGAAAUCAAGAGAAAUUAUAUAGGACUUGUAAAAGUUUGUCAGGGAGCCAGACUGUGAUAGUCAUGAGCCGGGGUAAGCUUGGUGCUACCUCUUUGUUUCUUUUUGUUUUCUUUGUUGUUGAAGAGUAAUGGAUAGUUUUUGAAUACUGAGAAGUGAGUCUAUGGAAUAAAUCAAGAAUUGAUUUAUGAGUUAUUAAUUAUGUAAUUGGAAUAUUGAGUGAUUGAAUUAUAUAAGGAGUUAUUUAAGGAUAAUGAUUAUUGUUUAUUGAGAGCUGUGUGUGUUUCAAUAGAAGAAGUUGGUGAUUACAAAAAUUCUGUGAAUCCAAAUUGGUUGGAGUGAAGUUUGUUAUUCUUGGUGUUGGAUGGAAUUUAUGAGUUUUGAGCAGUCUUUUAAGAGUGCAAGGUUGUACACUAUUAUUAUCAGUUGAUGAAGGAGUAUUGUUAUUGGGAGAAAGUGUUGUAGUAUUUUUAGGUAUUUUAGUGGAUCAGAAUACGAUUAAUUGUGUGGCCCUAACAAAUAAAACUCAUACAUUUAGUCUUUUCUUGUAUUCAAAUUCUCCUAUAUAAGUUUAUUCUGAAAGGAAUUGUAGAAUAAGUAAAAUGACAAUCACAACAACUUACUAUGAUUUAAGUCUAUGUAGUGGCAACUAUAUAAGAUCUUGCUAAUCUUCAAUACUCCUACUGUCAUGGACAUACAUUGGAAGAUUCUUCGAAUAUUCUUCUAGAAUAUUCUCUAAAGAUUCUUUUAGAAGGUUCUAGAAGAUUCUUAGAAUAUUCUCUAAAGAUUCUCUUAGAAGAUUCUAGAAUAUUCUUAGAAGGUUCUAGAAUAUUCUUAGAAGGUUCUAGAAUAUUCUGAUAGAUUCUAGGAAGUUGCUCGAGAAGUUUCCUAAUUAGUAGAAGUUGUUGGAGAAGCGUCCUAGUUAGCGGAAGUAGCUCGAGAAGCUUCCUAUUCAGUAGUAUAUAUAGGAGUCGAGGCUGAAGGGUUCUUCAGUCUCGACAACACAUCUCUUGGAGUUCUAGCUCACCUUUCUAGUGUUGUUCUUGUACUCAUCUGUUUAAUCUAGUUCUGCCACUUCUUCUUGAACUUCUUGUUAGAUUUCAAGUCUGUAUUUUGUGUCCGUGACAGUUUGUCGAGACUACAUUUUCACUGGUAUCAGAGCUAGUUCCUUCUUGUUAGAGAGUACAUUACCCCUCUUCUUGAAGGUGUGCUAGUGUUUUAGAGGUUGCGGAUUACCCUCCUCUAAACUGAUAUCUCUUCUUUCUCAAUAUUGGAGCCUUAUUCUUCUUGGAGAGAGUGGAUUACCCCUCAUCUUGGAGUCUUAAGGCAUUUUAGAGGUUGCGGAGUACUCUCCUCUGAACCAAUAUUGUCCUCUUGUCAAAACUCUUUUUUCUUCUUUCUGAAGGUUAGCCGAAGGUUAAGACGUUAAAAUGGCUGAAAGUUUGGAAUCCAAACUAGACGCCAUCAUAAAUGCUCUUGCCUCGUUGUCACAUAGGACAACAGAGAUCGAAGGAGUCAUGGUAGGACUCCAUAACAAUGGAGCAUCUGGGAUAGCGCCAUCUAAAGCAUAUCAGCCUCAAACUUCUGCGCCAGAAGAAGCAGUUCUACCUCCAUUUCAACAAGAUCGAGUAGUCCUACAACGAAAGGAGCCUCGAGUUAGUCUUCCGGAUAAGUUUGAUAGAACUCGUUCCAAGUUUCGAGGUUUUGUCAACCAAAUCAGGUUGAUAACAAUUUUACAGCCCGAACGUUAUCCGACGGAGGAAGCGCGUGUUGGGCUUGUUGGAACCUUGCUUAUAGCACAAGCUCUGUCUUGGUUUACUCCCUUGUUUGAGAAGCGAUCGCCAAUCCUGAGCAACUUUGAAACGUUCUUGGAGGCGUUUGCAGAAGCAUUUGGCGAGCAUGAUAAAGUUCGAUGGGCUACAACAAAGAUCCGAUCGCUACGACAAGGAACACGCUCUGCAUCAGUCUAUGCCUCGGAUUUCAGACAAUUGGCAAGUGACAUUAAUUGAGGUGAAGAGGCGUUGGUGAGUCAGUUUUAUUGGGGCUUGAAGGAUGAUGUGAAGGACUUGCUGUUAUCUCUUCCUGAUCCUCAAACGCUCAAUGAAGCUAUUAGCUAAGCUAUAAAGUGUGACAACUGCCUAUUCCAGCGUCGCCAAGAUCAACGUCCAAGACACCAAAUGACUCGUUACGACGUGACUAUGUCUGCAAAUAUCUUAAACUCACAUUCGGAGGCAACAGACAUGCAAAUCGACACGACGCGUGUCCGAUCUCUUACUCCAACAGAGAAGAAACGACGUAUGGAUGAAGGGUUAUGUUUGUACUGUGGAGAAGAAGGCCACAAGGUUGGAAAUUGCCCAAAGAAGCAAAAUUGGCACCCUGUCAAGACUAGAAGUGCGAUGAUUCCAGAAAACGAUGACGCCCAGCCACAGUAGGAACCGUGCGGCUGGACAAUCUAAUAUCACGACAACAAUCAGGUUCCUCCUUCUUUGUCCAACAUGCCCGUUGUUUUACAAUUCCUUUGUUUUUAGGCCCUCAAAAACAAAAAACUUUAGCUUUAUUGGAUUCGGAGGCAUCUACUUGUUUUUAGAUGAAGAGUUUGUUAAACGCCACAAGAUCCGUUUAGUACAGAAGUCCAAAUCUAUUCACGUAGAGGUGAUAGAUGGACGACCCUUAUUGUCAGGCAACGUUACCCACGAAUCAGAACCUAUAGAAGUGGUGUUUAAGGACCAUAGUAGUCACGUUAUUUUUAAUAUUAUUAGAACCCCAUCAAGCCUUGUUAUCCUUGGUCUUUCUUGGUUAGAAGAUCAUAAUCCGUCCAUUGAUUGGAGGCUACGAAGGAUAACAUUUCCUGAAAAAAAUAAUAAUAAACCUGUUGGUAGAACCUACAUGAAGAAAUCCAUGUUUAUUGGAGCGAGAGCGUUCCUAAGAUCGUCCAAGGAAGGCACACCAUUUGUCAUUUAUGCAGCUCCAACUAGCGGCGAGAAUAUCUCAACAUCGAAUAUACCAGAGCAAUAUAGGGAUUUUGAAGACGUGUUUCAGAAGAAGAACGCCGAUAUACUGCUGGAACAUCGACCAUAUGAUUGCGCCAUAGACUUAGAGGAAGGAGCGCAACCACCUUUUGGUCCAAUAUACAACCUAUCGCAGACGGAGUUGGCAGAAUUGCGGAAGUACAUCGAUGAGAAUCUAGCCAAGAAUUUUAUUCGACAUUCAAAGUCACCAGCUGGAGCACCAAUCCUAUUCGUGAAGAAAAAAGAUGGCUCACUGCGGAUGUGCGUGGACUACCGAGGACUCAACAAGGUGACCAAGAAAAAUCGCUAUCCCUUACCUUUGAUCUCCGGCCUCUUAGAUCAACUUGGACGUGCAAGGAUUUUUACAAAGAUUGAUUUAAGAGGAGCCUACAAUCUUGUGCGAAUCAAAGAAGGAGAUGAAUGGAAGACAGCCUUUCGUACAAGGUAUGGCCAUUUUGAGUACAAUGUCAUGCCUUUUGGUCUUACCAAUGCUCCAGCGGUCUUUCAGCAUAUGAUGAACGACAUCUUUCGGGAGUACCUCGAUGACUUUGUUGUCAUCUAUCUGGAUGAUAUUUUGAUAUUUUUCAAGAAUGAAGAAGAACAUGAGAAGCACGUUUGUUUGGUUCUUGAAAAACUACGCGAACGAGGACUCUACGCCAAGUUGGAGAAGUGUCAAUUUCACCAGAAUGAGAUGGAAUUUUUGGGCUUCAUUGCGACUAUAGAGGGCUUGAAGAUGGAUCCAAAAAAGGUAGAAGCAAUUAUAUCUUGGAAAGUUCCGAAGACGGUUAGAGAUGUUCAGUGUUUUCUUGGAUUUGCUAACUUCUAUCGGAUCUUCAUCAAGAAUUAUUCUCAAGUUGCUGCACCACUCAUGCAUCUAACAAGCAAAGACAAGCUCGAAUGGGGAUCACAAGCAGCAAAAGCAUUUCAAGAUCUUAAGACGGCAUUCACUACGGCUCCAAUCUUGGUACACCCUGACUUUGCAAAGGCUUUCUAUUUAGAGACCGAUGCUUCAGAUUUUGCUUUGAGAGCUGUGCUUUCACAGAUGGGCAUAGACAAGAAUCUUCACCCAGUUGCGUUCUAUUCACGGAAGUUCUCUGCUACUGAGAUCAACUACGAGAUCCACGACAAAGAGCUGCUUGCUAUAGUGGAUGCCUUCCAAGAGUGGCGUCACUUCCUCGAAGGAGCUGCACAUCCAGUGACUGUUUAUACGGACCACAAGAAUUUAGAGUACUUCAUGACAGCUCAAAUUUUGAAUCGUCGUCAAGCUCGAUGGAAUAUGUCUCUAUCACGAUUUGACUUUAUUAUCAGCUACCGCCCUAGAAAACAGCAAGGAUUAUCUGACGCAUUAUCGAGGAGAUCGUAUCUUGCGCCAAAGGCUGGAGAAGCAGUGUUUGAUCAACAAUGUACAACAUUGUUGAAACCAGAAAAAUUCAGGAUUUUUGCUACUGUUGCAACUAUCGAUGACGGCUUCCUCAGCGAGGUACGUACUGUGACCAUUGAGGAUUCUAUAGCUCUUGACAUCAAACAACGUGUCGAUAAUGACAAGUUUAAGGUGGAGGGAGAUCUUCUGUAUUUUGAGGAGCGGUUGUAUAUCCCGAAAGGACCAACUCGACUCCGAGUACUUCAAUCUCGCCACGACUUUCCAGCUGCGGGACAUUUUGGAUUCAACAAGACUUUGGAGCUCAUUUCACGAGAUUUUUGGUGGCCCCAAAUGUGGAAGGAUGUGAAGGAAUUUGUCCUUUCUUGUGAUGUUUGUUCAAGAUCCAAGAUCCCUCGACAUCGUCCGUACGGACUUCUCCAGCCAUUGCCUAUUCCGCACCGACCAUGGUCUUCAAUUUCUAUGGACUUCAUUACGGACCUACCGCCAUCGAAUUCAUUUGACAGCAUCUUUGUUGUGGUGGAUCGAUUUACAAAGAUGGCGCAUUUCGUGCCUUGCAAGAAAACAUCGUCAAGUGAAGACACCGCAAGACUCUUUCUUGAUAACAUAUAUCGUUAUCAUGGCCUACCAGAUGAUAUCGUGUCGGAUCGAGGUACUCAGUUUGUAUCCAAGUUUUGGAGGUCCCUCUUUGAGAUAUUGAAGGUAGAUAUUAAGCUCUCUUCGGCUUUUCAUCCUCAAACUGACGGUCAAACGGAGCGGGUGAAUCAAGUUUUGGAGCAAUAUUUACGAUGCAGCAUCAACUAUCAACAAGAUGAUUGGACUGCAUAUCUACCGCUUGCUGAGUUCGCAUACAACAACACUCUUCAUGCGUCAACUCAACAAACACCAUUCUUCUCCAACUACGGAUACCACCCCAAGCUCGAUUUAUUGAGUUCUUCAGCAAAUAACAACCCAGCAGCUGAAGGAUUUGUGAAGCAACUAUUGGAGCUUCAAGCGACGUUGAAGCUUCAAUUGCAAUCUACCCAAGAGAGUUACAAGGCAUCUGCAGAUAAAUAUCGAAAUGAGGCGCCUACUUUUAAAGUUGGAAGUAAAGUAUGGCUUCUUCGACGGAAUAUCAAGACCAAGCGGCCAUGUGACAAAUUGGACUAUCGGAGAUUAGGGCCAUUUGUUAUCGAGAAGCAGAUCAAUCCGGUGGCAUAUCGUCUGGAGUUACCAGCUACUAUGAAGGUACAUCCAGUCUUUCACGUGUCUUUGUUGGAACCUUAUCGAGAGUCAGCUUUUCCCCAAAGAGUACAAAGUCCGCCACUAAGUAUCGAAAUUGAAAACCAUGAGGAAUACGAGGUGGAAAAGGUACUAGAUUCACGGCGUAAUAGGAGAAAAUUGGAGUAUUUAGUGCAUUGGAGUGGAUACGACAUCAAUGAACGAACGUGGGAGCGUGUCGAAAAUCUUGCCAAUGCACCAAAAAAGAUACAAGAAUUUCAUCAACGAUAUCCUCAUAAACCUAAGCCGAUUCAACGAUAGCUUCUUGCUGAAGCUUGCUCAUCAAGUAGCAUAAAAAGGGGGGAGGGCACCUCCAAAACCCAUAGUUCGAUAGUGUAGAACUUUGUUAGCAACUAUAGUUUGCUCUCAUCAUUUUAGCCUUUGGACAUGGAUAGUCAAGAUACUACACUUGUUAUAUCAUCUCAAGCGACUAGCUCACAAAGACGACCGCUAGAUGAAGAACCGCCUGCACCACGACGACGUCGGAGGAUACCGAGCAACAGAUCGCUAGUAAUUAUAUUUGAGGUCGAGCCUGCCUACGACGGUUAGCCAGAAGGUGUGUUUGGAGGACAGUUUCACAAUGAAGACACAGAAGUCCACGCUUGGUCAGAGGUUGAAGGUGUUGGUCACUACCGUUGGCUCCAAGGGCCGAUGAAUCAUUUGCCUCGCGAACAACAAUUGGAAUUCAUAGCGGAUGUGAUGCGACAGAUUUUCAUUUUCUUGCGUUGGUAUUGACUGAUAACAACAUUGCUUCUCGGAGACCUCGAAGUUAGAAGAGGAGGUGAUGUCAUGGACAUACAUUGGAAGAUUCUUCGAAUAUUCUUCUAGAAUAUUCUCUAAAGAUUCUCUAAAGAUUCCUUUAGAAGGUUCUAGAAGAUUCUUAGAAUAUUCCCUAAAGAUUCUCUUAGAAGGUUCUAGAAUAUUCUUAGAAGGUUCUAGAAUAUUCUGAUAGAUUCUAGGAAGUUGCUCGAGAAGUUUCCUAAUUAGUAGAAGUUGUUGGAGAAGCGUCCUAGUUAGCGGAAGUAGCUCGAGAAGCUUCCUAUUCAGUAGUAUAUAUAAGAGUCGAGGCUGAAGGGUUCUUCAGUCUCGACAACACAUCUCUUGGAGUUCUAGCUCAUCUUUCUAGUGUUGUUCUUGUACUCAUCUGUUUAAUCUAGUUCUGCCACUUCUUCUUGAACUUCUUGUUAGAUUUCAAGUCUGUAUUUUGUGUCCGUGACACCUACUUUGCUAAUUAUCAAAAGGCUUUCUAGCCUAAUGCCUCUAUCAACUCAUAGAGUCUAUCUUUUAUUAGUGUUUUUAUAAGCAAAUCAACAAGCAUGUCUUUUGUAGUAUAAUACUUCAUACCUAUUACUCCAUCUUUAAUUUUUUCUCGUAUAAAAUGAUAUUGAACAUCAAUAUGCUUAAUUCUUCAAUGGUACUUUGGAUUCUUAGCAAAUGCAAGACAUCCUUGAUUGUCACAUGUUAUUGGAGUUGAUUCCAAUUAUACUAAUCUAAUGUCUUUUAAAAAUUAUCUUAUAAAACAUGUUUUUAUUGUACAAUGACUUGCUGCCAUGUACUCAGUUUUCAUGGUUAAUCUUACAAUGGUUGGUUAUUUUUUGUAAUUUCAUGAAAUAUCUCCCACUCUAAUAAAGAACACGUAUCUUAUUGUAGAUCUUCUAUCAUUUGUAUCUCUAGUCCAAUCUGCAUUACAAUAUCCUUGCAAAUCAAUGUUAUCACCACCAAGGCACAAUUUGAAGUUCUUUAUACCUUUUAAGUACCUCAAUAUCUUUUUUAUCAUUGCCAAAUGCAAAGGUCCUACCUUAGACAUGUGUUGGCUCACAAUACUCAUACUAAAUGUAAGUUCCUCUUUUGUAGCCACCAUUACAUACAUAAGUGAGCCUAUUGCUGACUUAUAUAAAAUACUUUGUAUCUCACCUUCAACUUGUACAUAUUCUUCAUCUAUGAGCUUCAUCAAUUUUAAGUUGGCUUCCAAAGGUGUUCCAAUAGGCUUAUACUCCUCCAUAUUGAAUCAUUUCAAUACUUCUUUAAUGUACUUGAUUUGACUCAUUGUAAUAGUCUUAUUGCCACGAUCUCUUACAAACUCCACUCCUAAGUAAUAGUGGAGCUUUCUCAAAUCACUCAUCUCAUAGUCUUUUUCCAAUAUGGCCUUAAUUCAAUCUAUCUUUUCCAUAUUAUUAGCCAAGAUAAUCAGAUCAUCAACAUAGAGGAUUAUAAUCAACAAAAACACUUUAGAUUAUAUCACAUAUAAUGAAUGAUCAGCCUCACUCCUUACAAAUCUCUUACUGACAAAAAAUGUAUCAAUACAUUAGUACUAUGCUCUUGGUGAUUGUUUUAAUCCAUACAAAGAUUUCUUCAACUUGUAUAUAAGGUGUUAUUUGUCUUGUUGUACAAGUCCUUGAAAAUUGAUCCAUGUAGAUGUUUUCUUACAAUUUUUCAUUCAAAAAGGCCAUUUUUACAUCUAUUUGGUGCAUUUUUAAGUCUUUUUCUCUUUAAUUGCUACAAUGGUCCUAAUAAUAGUAAAUUUGGUAACAAAUAUAUAAAUCUCAUUGAAGUCAAUUCCAACAACUUAUAAAUACCCUUUGACAAUUAAUCUUACCUUGUGCCUCACCAUCAUACCUAUUGCAUUUCUUUUAGUCUUAAAAAUCCACUUAUAACCAAUAUUAGUUUGAUUUGCUAAAAGAGAUGUCAAUUUCUAUGUAUCAUUAUUUAUAUGAGAUUAAUACUCUUCUUUCAUAGCCUUUUUUCACUUCAUUAUAUUUUUGAUCUUUAUAACAUUACACAUAGACAACGGAUCAGCAAAAAAAGCAACAUUUGCAUGUUCUUUACUUAUUUGAAGAAAAACGUGGUUCUUCUAAAAUUUGCUACCAGAUCUUUUUUUUCUUAAGAGAUAUCUUCUUUUAUUUAAAGAAGAUUCAGUUUUUUAUACUUUAAGUUCUCUUUUAAGCUUCUUCUCUCUUAAAGCUUGUCUUUUUUUACUUAAAGAUUGAUAUUCUUCAUCAUUAUUAUCAUCAUAAUCUUCAAAAUCUUUAUUGCUAAUCCUUAGAAUUUGCAAGGCCUUUUUUUUCAUCUUUUUUGCCUCUUCAUCUUCAUUCACACCUUUAUCAUCUUCAUUCUCUUCAUCUUCUUCUUUUCUUACUAGAAUUAGAUAUGUAUCUACAAAUACAUCAUUAUUCUUACUUGAAUACAUUUUCAAGUAUUCAUAAGCACUUUUUUGCUCUAAAAAUUCAACAUUACAACUUUUGAUGAUCUUUUUGGUAUCCAAAUACAUUAGCCUAUAUGCCUUGGUACCUUCACAAUAUCCUAAGAAAAUAUACUUUGUAUCUUUUGUAUCAAGUUUGGACCUCAUACAAUCGAUUAUCUUUCCAUAUGCAAUGCAUCUAAAGGUCUUCAUAUGUGAAAUAUAAGGUGGUUUCUUACUCUAAGCUUCUUAUAGUGUCAUUGAUGUAAAAGCACUUAUUAGAUACUUAUUAUUUGUAUAUACUAUAUUUACUACAGCUUCUAUCCAAAAUUCAUAAUGAAGAUUUUGAGCAUGAAACAUGAUUUUUACUAUCUCUUUAAUGGUUCUAUUUGCCUUUUCAACAAUACCAUUUUUUUGUUGAAUAUAUGGAAUAUUUUUUGUAUAGCAAUUCCUUCAUUCUUCAAAUAAACAUCAAAUUACUUAGACAUGUACUUACCUCUAUUGUCCAUAUCCACACUUUGAUCUUAUAUUCACUUUGUUUUUCAACAAGUGCUUUAAAUUCUUAAACUUCCAAAAGUACUAAAUUUAUUUUUCAACAAGUGCUUUAAAUUCUUAAACUUCCAAAAGCACUAAAUUUAUUUUUCAACAAGUACUUUAAAUUAUUUAAACUUCAAAAAGCACUCACUCUUUGCUUUAAGAAUGUAAAUUCAAAUCUUUUUUGAAAAAUCAUCAAUAAAAAUAAAAAAAUACCUUGCUCUUUCAAUACUAGUGUUCUUCAUAGAUCCACAUACAUCAAUAUGGACGAUCUCCAAAAACUUUGUAGCACAUAAUUUUAUACCACUUGAAAAUGAGAUCUUUUGUUGUUUAUCUUGUAUGCAUCCUUCAUAUCCAAGUUGUAUUGCAUUUUGGCUUAUUUUUCCAAGAUCUAAUCCACUUAUCGUAGACUUAAGCUUUGCAAUGUUCUCCACAUUGUGAAAGCAAGAGUCUACUUUGGAUAGACACAAGGUCCUUCUUUGCAUUCAAGUUGGGUCCAGUAUGCACAAAAUCUUCUUAAAUUUUCCUUUGAGUACUUACAAAACUAUAUUUGUAAUAAACCAACAAACUUGAAGUUUGGAAAUUCAUAUCCCAAGAUCUAUCUAUUCAAAUAAGUUCAAAAUUUAGAAGUACAAAACUUACACCUUUGAUCAUUAUCAUACAAAUUUUCAGCUAAAAAAUUAUUAUUGAUCAUCUGAUAUCACCAAAUCUUUAACAAGUAUUUUUGAAAGUCAAAACCAAAUCGGAAACUUAAAAAUUCAUGUCCCAAGAUCCAGCUAUUCAAAUAAGCUCAAAAUUUAAGAGUACAAAACUUAUACCUUUGAUCAUCAUUAUAUAAAUUUUUAGCUAUAAAUUCGUUGCCAAUCGAUUGAUAUCACCAAAUCCUUAUCAUGUACUUUUGAAAGUCAAAACCUUAGAUACUCAAGAAUAUAUUUUUCUAUUUCUCUCAAGUCAAAGUCUCAAUUGAUAUGAGAUUUUAGACAUAAGCUUUUUAUAUCAUAAGUAACAUAUAUACAAAAAAUGAGCUUCAAAUUCGUCUUGAAGCUCAAGUUCUAGCUUAAAACCAAAACCCUCUAUUUCUUUGAUUUCUUCAAAACCCUGGUUUUAGUUUGCUAGUUUUAACCAACCAUAUCUCACUCAUUUUAGAUUCAAUUCUAUCAAUCCUUAAAUGUAAAAUUUUCAACUUAAAGUCUAGUUUUUAAUUCAAUUAUUGGAUUUUUUACUAGUAUCUUCAAAUUCUUAAUAUAUAUGGAAAGAUACAUUAGAUAUUAAAUUAGUAGCCUAAGUUUAAAAUAAUCAUAUCUUUCUCGUCUAAGCUCUAAUUCAUAUGUUUUUUCUACCUAAACUCAUAUGAAGAAGCUCCUCUCUUUGAAUACUUCUUCUUUAUAUGCCAAAAAAGAAUCUCUUCUUUACUUCUGAGCUCGCCAAAGAAAUUGCAACCAAGGUCUUCAAAGUCCAAGUCAAAAGCUAAUAGUUUAAAGUUAAACAAACACCAAAUCUAAUCUUUUAAGUUAGCACCAUUAAUAGCAGCCGACUAAUGCUAUCCAAAACCCUAUUUAUCCUUAAUAAAAACCUAAAUACAACCUCAAAGUCAAAAUUCUUCAUACAUUUAUCAAUAUAACUCUGAAUCUACUAAAAUCAAAGAUUAAAAAGAAAGUAAAAAGAAUAAAAGAAGUUUUCAAGGCUUAACCAAAGAUAAAGUUAAAGUAAAAGAUAAACUAAAAUUUAGCCAAAAUUUCAAAAAAAAAAAAAAAAGAAGAAAGUAGAAAAAAAAUUUCAAAUUUAUAGAAAAAUUAGAUUGGUAAGACGAAAAAAGAACUUAAUAAAAGUUCAAAGAAAAUUAAGUCAAGCAAGGUUUCCAUACAUGAAUAUAUUUAUAUCACAACAAUGUUCAAAUGGCCAAGGCAAUGAUGCCAUAUAUUCAACUUAUCUUGGUUGAUGUAAACUCAGCUAAAAUACUGAAUCUUCACUUUGAGACUUUUUUUCUUUCUUCUUGAUUACUUCAUGGUUAAAUCUUGCUAUGACAUAAUCCAUUGUGAGUUCUUUCAUUUUAAUAGAUUCUAAAGCCACAACAAAGUAGUAGUAGGAUUCCAGCAAGAUCAUGAGUAGAGUCUUAACAAUACUUGCUUCUUCUAAAGGCAUAUCAACAAUUGGAAGCUGAUUUGCAAGUACCUUCACCUUAUUGAUAUGUGCCAUGAGAUCUUUAUCUUCUUCCAUCUUAUAUGUGAAGAACUUCCUCUCUGUGUAGAUGAUGUUAGAUAAGUUCUUGCUCUAAUAGAUGUUGCAAAGAGUCUUCCAUGCUUCUGCUGGUCUUUUGUAAAAGAUAAUAUGGAAGAAGUUGACUUCAUUCAUAUUACAUGCAAUCAAUCCAAAGGCCUUCUUUUUAUGAUUUUUGUAGUCCUUUUUCUCUUUUGUAUCAGCAUGCAUACUUGAAGGCUCUUUACUUUCAUCUACAAUAUCUCAUAUGUCCAAAGAAGUAAUAAAAGCUCCAUUUUGAUCUUCCAAUAGUAAAAAUUCUUACUUCUAAACUUUUCAAUUACUCUUAAGCCUUCAUCCUUACUUGAAGCCAUGUUUAAAGAAGAGAUGUAUCAAAAAAGAUCAAAAGAAAUAUUCCUAAAGCUCUCAAAAUCAGCAGAGAGUUGCUGCUUUAAAAUCUCAAAAUGCCUUCUUUGUGAAUAAAUUAGUAUUUUUAUUCUCAAAAUACUCUCAACUUCACUUCUAUGACCUCUCGCAAGUUCAAUGAUCAAUUUAAAGGUGUCAAACUAUAUUUUUCACUCUUCUAUUACUCUUUUAUACUCACAAAUUACCUCUAGAUAUCAGAAGAGGUCUUUUAAGCACCUUAAUCUCUUUUAAUACAUGAAACUACAAAGUUGGUCCAUUAAGAAUCUUAAUCAAUAAAAAAAUAUAAUACUAAUAUUCUAUAACAUUACUAUAAGGUGCAAAUCAAAUCUUGAAUUCAAGAUGUACUUAACAACAAGUAAGAGCAAACAAAGAUCUAAAUCUAGAUUUAAAUCUAAAAGUUAGGAAUUUCAAAAUCAAAAUCAUCAGCAACAACAAUAUGAUCUACUCCACACAAUAACAAAAACUUCAUAUAACUUCAAAGAAACUCAUAAACAAAUAUAAAUGGAUACAUAACCUUUUAAUAAAAGAGAAAUUAGAAGCCACAACUUUUAGCAUCAACAGGAUUGUACACAAAAUAAAGUGUGGGAUAAGAUGACUUUCACUUCCAAUAUUUUUUACUUAAAACUAGAGUUUACAUCAAUUAUAGAUGAACUUAAUUAUUUUCAUCCUUCUUUUUUAUAUCCAACUAAAUUUUAGAUUCAUCUAAUCUUAGCCGCUACUUAAAAAUCCUAAUUGCUACUAUGGUAACAUCUUUUAAACUUUUCUUAGCUUUUGACUAUUAGCAAUUUAUUAUAAUUUAAUUCUAUAUAGUAGCAACUAUACAAGAUAUUCAAUACUUCCUCAUAAAUCUAUUUUUAUAUAGAUCUUUGUUUAAUUCAAUUAAUCAAGAAGUAGUAAAAUCAAAGUUAUAUAAUAUCUAUUCUUGAUGGUAAUCUUAUUGAAUCUCCAAUGAUUUACACACAUCCAUAAAGAUCCAUCUUUUUUCUUCACAAAUAAGAUAGGAACCUUAGCAAGAGAUUUAGAGUGACAUAUCAAAUUCUUAGGUAAUUUUUCAUCAAUAUAUUCUUUAAGUGUAGCCAAUUCAUUUUAUGAUAGGCUAUAGAUUGGUCCAAAUGUUGGUUGAGUUCUUUUAUAAAGAUCAAUGGAACAAUCAUAAGAACAAUACUCUAAGAAUAAUACUCUAAGAAUAUAUCUAUAUUCUUUUUUUCAAAAAUGUCUUAAAAAUCUAAAUACAUACUAGAAAUACCACUUAACAUCUUUUUACCAUCAAAAAUGGACAUUGUAUAUAAAACAAAAGAUAACUAUUCUUUUGUGGCAUGUAAAAAAGCUCUUACACCUACCAAUAAAGAUUUGGAUGUAAUAAACUUAUGUAUUUCUACUUAAUUUAGGAGAUUUUGGAUUAAACUAUCAAAAAAAUUAAGAUUACAAGAAAUCCAAUCUAUUUAAAGAUUAUACUUUUUUAACCAAGAUAAUCCUAAAAUAAUUGAUUUAGAUGGAGAAUUUAUUAUAAUAAAUAUUAUUUUGUCAUUAUGAUCUUUAAUUGCUACAUCUAAAAAAAUAGUCUCAUGCAUAACAUCUCUAGAAGAUAUCAAAUGACCAUCUAUAACUUCUACAUGUAUAGCUUUAAUUUUUUUAAUUAAUAAUAUCUCUUAUUUUUUGAUAAAAUCUUUGUCUAUAUAAUAGGCUGAGGCUCAUAAAUCUAAAAAAGCUAAGACUUUGUAAUUUUUGGGUCCUAAAUAAACUUCUAUUAUAAAACAAGAUGAGAGAUCUAAAGAGAGAAUAGGACCUUUAUUAGGAAUUAUGGAAGAUUUUAGCCAAACGAUAUCAUGAUGUAAUACAAAUAUAUGAUGAAAAUAUAAUCAAAAAUAAAUUUUUAAUUAAUAUCUAAUUAUCUUCAUUCAAUAAUUAUUCAAGAUAUUUAAACAUGGCUUUUAUAAAAGACUCUUAUUUUAUUCUCUUAUCUUAAUAUUUAGUAAGUUAAAGAUUAGUUAGUAAUUUUACCUUUCAAACUAUAGAGACUCUUUUACUACCUUAAGAAGACCAUAAAUUGAUAAAAUCAAGUUAGAAGAAAUAAAGAAUUAGCAAAGUUGAUACUAAGAUUAAGUUGAAGAUAGGUUUGGACUAAAAAAUCCCUAGGAUGGGUUAGAUUGAUUCCAAAGGAUCGACUAUUUGGGAGACAAGGUCGAAAUUAAACCUACAGCCACUAAAAUAACAACCUAGGAUUAAAUAGGGUUUUAUUUGAAGAUCAAAGACUAGGAUUUGAGAGCUAGCUUAAAGCUUAUUUCAAAGAUAUAAGGCUUAUUUUUGUAGGAUUUUUUUAGACUUAGUAAUUAUUAUUCAAAGUCAAGAUUUAUAUUGGUAACUUGGAAUUUAUAUAAUACAAUUAGGACUAGCACUUUCAACUAGUUUAUAAAAUUGAUAUCACAUCUAUAGUUCUAAACUUAAUUAAUUGGAUGUGCUAAGUGUAUGUAAAAAAUUUUAAUAAUCUAACGGUACAGUUAUGAGAUAUGUAGAUUUUGUUACAAGAAGAUAUUAGAAGUUGGCAAUUUGAGGUUGGAUGGGAUUUCUAUGAUAUUUAAAGAUCUACAAGUUAGAUCAAGGCAAAAUUUUGCAUUGUAUUAGAAGACUUAAAGAUCAAGCUACACACCAAUUUUGAAUUAAAGUUAAUUAUUGAAGAAGGAGGAAUCACUGCUAGAAUAUUUGUAUCAAUUUUUAAGUUGGCGGUCAAAUAACAUCAGUGUGAUUUUUGGACAUUUUCUCACAAUCUGUAUGUUCGAUUGAAAUGAUUUCUUUGUAAACACAUAGAAGACUUAUAGUGGCAUUUGUAUGCAAAAUUUUGCUCUAAGUGAAUAGUUAGAUUAAGAGCUACAGUUUGCUAAAGUUUACUGAUUAGAGUUAAGAUUUAUAAAGAAAAUUCAAAAUUACCUAAUUAUAAAAGUAACAAGGCAAUUGGAGUUUAUAUAUAGUUGAGAUUAUUAAAAAGAGUGUUUUUUAGCACUUUUUAUUAGAUUUAAGCACUUUUAAAUUCAAAUUCAAAUUACAUUCUUCUUAUAAGAGUGAAACAUAUGAAGAUUUUUGGAUACUUAUAAAAUAAAAUCUCACCUUCUAUAGCCAAAUGCCCAAUGUAUUCUCAAAAAAGAAGACAUGUAAUAUAACAAUGAUCUCUAUUAUAGCUGAAAAAACUUGUUUUUUGAUACAUCAUCUUUAAAGGCAAAAAUACUUUUCAUAUUAUAAUUACGUUGUUUCUUUAGACAAUAUUAAGCAGUGUGUUUAGCUUCUCAACAAUAUAAGCAUAAAUCCUCUUGACAUUGUUGAAUCUUUUCUUGUUUUGUAAGAGAUUUAAAACAUACCAUAUGAAUUUGCAUUGAUUCUAGCCUUAAUGAAUAAGUUCCUAAAAACUUAAGAGCUUCCGUCAAUAUUUGAUUUUUUCCUCUUUACCUAAAUCUUUAUUCUUGACGUCUUUCAAAUAAUCAAUUAUUGCAUGUAAUGGCUUGAGUGAUAAAUUAUUCUAAAGAUUUUGCCUUUGAUAUUGUUAGUAACAAAUCUUUGAAAUUAUUCUUUAAUCCAUAUAUCAUGAAUAUAUACAUUUACCUCAAUAAUUACUUAUAUGAUUAGAUAGAAGUAGGUAAAUAUAGAUUAAUUUCAUAGUCUUCUAAAGAAACUUCUUAAAAGCUUCAUAGAUAUAGUGUUGUAUUGUGGUUUGGCUACCAUGUGAAAAUAAUGUGUUUAUAUAUUUAAUACAUAAUAUUAGAUAACAUGGUGAAAGCCAUGUUAGUAGAUUUUUGUUGGUUAUAGGAUGUGAAUAGAUUACUACCCCAAAAAGAGGUUGAUUAAAAGGACUUCUAUUAGAAUUUAUAUAACUUUAUUUUCUUUUGAUAGUGACUAUUAAAGUUGAUCUUAUUAGUAGUAACUUUUAAACAUUUAGAGUCACUCUAAUAAGACACUGGUGAGCCUUGAAGUUUUAUUUUGGUUCUUUUAUUUGGUAAUUAAGGCUUAUAACAUGUAAAUCUUGUAUAAAAAGGAAUUGAAGAGGGAAUUUGGUAGAAAAAAAAGAUAGUUAAGGCAUCCAUAUGACUGAAUGGAGAUGGAUGAUAUAAAUCUCCAUUCCUAUUGGUCAAAAAUCAUAACCAAUGGACUUCAAGAAGGCUACUCGAGGCCAUAUUAGGAAUUAGAGGUAGUCUUUUGGGAGAAUUUGAACAUCAAAGGCUAAGGUCAGCAAGUUUAGAUUUUUGGCUAUGGUUUUGGUACAAAUUUUGAGUUAUUUGGAGUUUUUAUGAAGGAGAUAUAGGUGCUCAAAGUGAAGGUAUCGAUUUUGUACCUACUAUCACUCUUUUGGAUAUAACACAUACGUACAAAAAGCAACAAAGGAUCAGCAACUAGAAUUGAAGAAAGUACUUUUUUGGCUACACUUUAUAUAUUCUAUUUAAUGAAUUCUAAGCUAAAAUAAGAGAGAUAUUAGAUGUUGAAGUCAACACUUAGAAUUUAAGGAGUACUGUAGAAUAGAUAUUAGUUUAUUUUUGUAAGAUAUUGAUAAAAUAGACUAAUAGUCUAUAGAAUAGUCAGUUCAGGAGGAUGGAUGAUUGAUUUAGUUAUUCAAAGUGGUUAUUAUAGGAUUACGAUAAGAAUCUGGAAAUCAAUAGUAAUUAUAUAGGAGUUAUAGAAGUUUGUCAGGGAGUCAGACUGUGAUAGUCAUGAGCCGGGGUAAGCUUGGUGCUACCUCUUUGUUUCUUUUUGUUUUCUUUGUUGUUGAAGAGUAAUGGAUAGUUUUUGAAUACUGAGAAGUGAGUCUAUGGAAUAAAUCAGAAAUUGAUUUAUGAGUUAUUGAUUAUGUAAUUGGAGUAUUGAGUGAUUGAAUUAUGUGAGGAGUUUUUCGAGGAUUAUCAUUGUUGUUUAUUGAGAGCUGUGUAUGUUUCAACAGAGGAAGUUGGUGAUUACAAAAAUUUUGUGAAUCCAGAUUGGUUGGAAUGAAGUCUCUUAUUCCUGGUGUUGGAUGGAAUUUAUGACUUUUGAGCAGUCUUUUAAGAGUGCAAGGUUGCACACUGUUGUUAUCAUUUGAUGAAGGAGCAUUGUUACUAAGAGGAAGCAUUGUAGUGUUUCUAGGUAUUUUAGUGGAUCGGAAUAUGAUUAAUUGUGUGAUCCUAAUAAGUAAAAUUCAUGCACUUAGACUUUCCCUGUAUUCGAAUUUCCCUAUAUAGGUUUAUUUUGAAAGGCAUUGUAGAAUAAGUAAAACAACAAUCACAUUUUGGCGCCACUGCCGGAGAUUGACAAUAGCAUUGAUUAUUAGGAAUUAACUGUCAGAUGAGUAGAUGAGAAAUAGGAAGCAAAUUCAGCAAGAUAUAAUGAAAGAUCAUGGUUAUUAAGAAUAAAAACAUUGCACUAAAGAAAACACGCCAGUCGAAAAAAAGACAAGAGAGAAUAUAAGCAAGAAAAUCGUUGUAAAAUGAGCAAGAAUGUAAGUUAAAAAGGAAGCGUUAACAAAGUUAGAUUAAGCUAUAGUUGCAUGCUUGUCGACAUAUCCAAGCAUAUCGAGAAGCUAACCGAUCUCUAAUAUUUCAGACAUAUAUACCGUUAAGAAAAUUACCAAGAGCACUCGUAGGAAAUUUUGUCACCAGUCCAGCAUAUGUCUUGAGCUCCUUAACUACAAGUGGAGGAAACACAAAAGAAUUGGGUACUCCGUUGAGUACCUUCUCAAUAGCAAAAAUUACCGAUUCUGUAAAAACAGGUUCCAUAGAAUGGCAUAAAUUGCUUGCCAAUAAGGGCCAAUUCAGCAUAUUUCAAAAUCCAUCAUUUUCACCUCCAAUUCAACUAAUAAACUUACUCAAGGAUAAUAAUAGUAAAUUGAAGAAGUUGGAAAGUCUGGAAAAGAUAAUUGGAAAAGGCAAUGGUAAUUUUAAUAAGAAUUUAAGCGGCACAUUAUCAUCUUCAAUGACGACGAGUGGUCUAGCAGUUCCAAUAGCACUCCAAAUAGGUGAUGUGGAUGAUUGCACAACCAACGUGGCUCCAUUACCUACUUUUAGGAGCUUUCCAAGUACGGAUCCUGAUUAACAUUUGUCUCAGUUUCUAAUAGGAUGUAUGAUUGUCGUUUUACUUAUUCUACAAUUCCUUCAAGAAUAAGCCUAUAUAGGAGAAUUCGAACACAGGAAAAGACUAAGCGCAUGAGCUUUACUUAUUAGGAUCACUCAAUUAACUAUAAUCCAAACUACUAAAAUAUCAAGAAAUACUACAAUGCUUUUUUCUAGUAACAAUACUCCUUCAUCAACUAAUAACAACAGUGUGCAACCUCGUACUCUCAAAAGACUGCUCAAAAUUCAUAAUUUCCAUCCAACACCAGGAAUAACAGACUUCACUCCAACCAAUCUGAAUUCACAGAAUUUUUAAAAUCACAGACUUCUUUUGUCGAAACACACACUUACAACUCUCAAUAAACAACAAUCAUAAUCUUCCAUUCAUAAUCAAUCUUUCAAUAACUUCUCAUAUAAUUCAAUCACUCAAUACUCCAAUUACAUAAUCAA